GAGUAGUUAAAAGAUAGAACAGUCUAGCCAAGUGCCAUGUCUCUUAUUCUUGAUCAGCUAUAGCUCUGGAGUUUUUGCAGAUUUUUAAAUAAAACUCAGAGAUUCCUUGUAUGACUCUCUAAAUCUCUCUUUUGUGGUAUUUCUGGAUCCUUACCAAGACAGUGAUGGUAUAUGCCUUCUCUUAAGAUAUGUGGUAUUUGUGGUAUAAGGCAUAGUGACAUUGCCUUCUCUCUCACCCUACUCUAAUAAGGCUCUAAUAUCUGGAGCUCAUAGGUGGGAGAUAAAGUAUACAUACUUACAAGACAUUUAUUGUAUAGUCAAACCAUGGAUCCAAAGAAACAAAUCAAUAAGCCAAAUCAAGAUGUGCAUGUGUGGCGAAUGAAUGGUGUAUGAUGAUGAUGGUGAUAACAAUGGUGAAAGUCUAAUUCUACUUUUGCUCUUUUGAGGGGAUACAUACCUUCCUUGCUUUUUGAAACUUUAUGAGGAGAAUGAGAUGCUCUUCUUUUUCUUUCCUCUCAGGUGGGUAUCUUGUACCCCUAAUUCUACUGUCGGACACUUGUCCAUUUUUACCUCUCGUCUCACUUUUUCUUUCUUUCGAGGUUCCGGGCACUUGCCCCUUUUUAUUUCCUUGUUUAUUAUUUUUUUUCUUUUUUUUUCUUUUUUUUCAGAGCACUCAUCUCUUGAGAUAAUAUAGCAAGUGGUAGUAGCAAGAUAACUUGAGCAUUUAUUUCACAAGGGAAAACCGAAAUAUUUUUGGCUAUUCUCUCCCGGAUUAGGAGUAGAAUAUUUUUGGGUGGUUCUGGAGAUGGACAUGGAUGGAUAUAUGUGGAUGGUACUUCCGGAGUAGAAGUAGCAUAUAUGAGUGAACGUGCAAGUGAAUCUUGAUUUAACCACAUGACAAGCUCCUAAGGGUCUACACAGCUUGACCACACUCAAUGCUCAUAAGCAGUAAAUAAUAAAUGUGUGGCUCAAAGUCUAGCAAGCAUGUAUAUAUGGCUGUGGUAGGAAUUUAAACUCUCAUCAUACAGGAACUCAUCAUGCAAUAUUUUAAAGAUUUUUCAAAGAUAAAAUUCUCCAGAAUUCUAGCAUCUCUAGGAACAGAUAAACAGCAGCUCAACCUUCCCAUAUCAUAUCCGUUAACAACUUAGAUUUCGGAUCAAGUUUUCAUCCCACAAGUUUAGAUCUAGAGGAAGCUUUAAAUUAUAACAGUUAUGUCUAAACUUGAGAGAGAACUUCAAAUUUGCAAAUUAGGCAGAGCAACUAUUCAUCAUAUCCAUGCUAGAGUUUUAUUAUUAAGAUUCAGAUUAGCAUAGCCACUUUAUUUAUUUAUUAAACACACUAAGCAAAAGAUAUAUAUAUAAGCACGAAAUCUUUAUUUGGUUUUUCAUAGUUUAUGUAUUUUAAUAUUCUAAUAUAAUAUAAGUAUAAAGAUAGGUAGAAAUACUUAGCGAGAUAAAUGGGGGUGCUCUCCCCCAAGCUGAAUUUUGACGUAAUUUCUCUUGAUGUAGCUAGCAGGUGGCAGAGGUGUAUUUGAAAGUCAGCAGCAUUCUGACAGCGAUUAGAAUAUCCUCCGUCUGCUAGUCUUCUUGAUUUUUAAAUUCUAUGGAGCUCAAAUAGACAACAAAGCUUGUGGAACUAAUUAAGUGUUAGCAUAAAUAUCUAGCCUUCAUCAUGUUGAGCUUCCUUAAUAAAUAUUACUCCCUUUUUUUAUAUUUUUAUUUUAUAAAGCAGAAAAGAAAUAUUUAUUUUAUUUUUAUGCCACCACAGUGAAGGUACUUAUGGGUUUUAUGCCACUCGUAUACUCACAUGGGGCUUAGUAUUUUUUAACAUUUUUAUUUUCUUUUCAAGAUAGCAUGAUUAACUAAUAAUCUAUUUAAGGAAAGUAAAUAAUUAAAGGGAAAAGGGAAUGCAGAAAGGAUAGAUAUGGAUAACUACCGAUCUUACCUUUCGGCGAUGGUUCAAUGUUUUAAGUCUUCUUAACAAGACUUCUCACCGUGUUCAUUCUUUAGGUGCGUCAUUUGAUUCAGGCACCUCUUCGUUUGCCUAGCAGUUCGAAGUGCGGCGUUGGCAGUAUCCUGCUCAGUGUGUUUGUGCUCGUAGAUCCAGGUCCUUUACUUGGUAGAGUCUGAGAGUUAUAAAACUCCUCUGUGUUUUGCUCGAAGCGUACCUGCUCAUAGAGGCAAGGCAGAGAUCAAGUGCAUGGGUCCUGUUGGUGGAAAACACCAACAGAACCUAAAGUGUAUUUGUUCUUCUCUAACCUUAAGCAUGGUGAGCAAGACAAAGUUGAUGAAUGAUAAGUUCAUGAGUGUAGCAUUUAAAACAUUUGUCAGAUCAGAUCGCUCAACCUUAUGGAAAGAUAAUCUAUCUAUGUAUAUGUCUUUUUCUUUAUAUCUCUCAAUGAUUGAAUGUGUAACAUUUUAGCUCAUAUGAUUAUGAGUGUGGGAUCAUGGAGGUAGUACUAAGAACAAGGAUUAAAGGACUAAACAUGUUGAAUCAGUUGGGUUGGUUAAUCUAGAGUUGUAAAUCAUACAUGUUUGUCUCUUUUAUUUAUAUGAACGCUAGAACCAAGAAGAAGCUUAUAAAAGUGAUAGUCAAGUACCUUAAGAUGUUACCUUGCUUGAAGAGUGAUGGUACAGUAUCACCUUGUGGAAGCUUUCCUUUCUUAGCGGUUGUGCAUCGUGUUUGUGGCACCCUCCAUGGAUCAUCUCUCUAUGAUGAAUGAGCUAUGUCCUUCUUGUGCAAAUUGUUAAACUUUAUGUGUCACUCUCUUCGUCUCUGAUGUGAGUUUAUCUCAGGACUUCCCAAAUCGAUAUUGAAAGUUUUUCUGCAGGGGUUAUUCCGACAAAAAUAUACCAAUGUCUACACAAGCACUUUUUAGUUCAAUAACCGAACUAGACUCCAUGUCUAAUCAGAUUAAGGAAGGCUGUUUAACUUAAGCACCAUGCUUAAUUUAAAAGCCAAUAGAAGUAUGUGCAGUACUUCCAAACUAACACUUACUAGUAAAUAGACAAAGGUAACAUGACAACAUUUAUAGAGAUCUACUCAAGUGGAGAUGAAGUAGUGUGAUUAGUAUUUAACAAAUUGAGCAUGUCUCAAAGGUAGGGACAACCAACAUAGCAACAUGGCAAAGGAUGUUUUUAUGUAAAGUACUCCCCCAAGCUUGAAUUUUGCAAAAUUCAAGUUUGGAUUAAUUUAAUUCAAUGUUGUAUGAUGAUUGGUUGGACAUACCUUGUGCUUGUCAUUCAUCCGAUCUUCUUGCUCCAAUCCUGUAAAGGUUAGUGACAAGAAUACCCGAAGGAAUAUUUUUACAAUUAUCCUUAUAUGCUCGAUACACAAGGUAAUGUUGCAAAUAAUUAAAAACUCAUGUUACGAUCUGAUCAGUACUUAUUUUAAGACACUAAGCUUGUCCUUGGGAAACCAUCAAUUUAUGUCGGCGAAGUGGUUUCCCUUCCAACGCUGACCUAAAUCAAGAUCAACUCAACGAGAUCUGCAAUAUUUAUUAUAGACAUAUGCAUCGACAACCACCCUUUUAAAGUUUUUAUAAAUAUAAAGGAAGAGGGGGUUGGAGAUCUCAAAUGUGGUGAUGUUGGAGAGACCAAUAGAUUGGGAAGAUGUUGCAUAUGAGCAUGGAGUAAACAAAAUGGCUAUGAAAUAAAUUCCAUGCUCAUUAAUGUUAUCUUCGUCUCCAAUCUGAAUGUUCAGAGUUUCUCUUGGAUUGGUCUCACUUAUGUCCUCUUCUAUAGUUGGAUGAAUCCCAUCUUCAAAGGGAGUCAAGAACUCACCAUUUGAAAUUGAACCAAAGUCAGAAUUCAUUAAGGCUUCUUCCUUAUCCAUCCAUUCUACACAUUCUAGCCAAUUAGAACUUGUGAUCAGGAAAGGGGAGGUGUUAGAAUUUUCAAUAUGGAUUAGCUCUCCUUCACUUGAUAUGUCAUCCUCGACUUCUUCAUAACAGGAACCAGGACAUUCUCUAAGAGAACCAUUAUUGCGAGGAUUUGAAUUAUCCCUGCUUGAAGGUCUCUUAUGGAACCAGAAGUCUAAACCAUCAGCAUCUGGAAGAUUUAAGGUCGGAAUUCCUUCCUCCCUUGGAGAAUUUUGGGGUAUUGAUGGUUUAGGAUCGAUAACUAAAGUUUGGAAUUGACGUGGUUGUGAUCUGGCUAUCGAAACUUCUUCUUCUUGUCUAGGAACUGGUUCUUUCUCUUUCUCAGGGAUAUAAAAGCUAGGAGACUUUCCACUUAAUAAAUCAAUCAAAUUCCAAGCUUCACUAGCAGGUAGGUGAUAGAAGGAUCCUCUAGAGGCUGUAUUCAAGGUUUGCUUAUUUUCCCCACUAAGGCUCUCAAAAAAGUGAAUUAGAAGAACUUCUUCUGGAAUAGAAAGCUUUGGGCCAGUGAGAGUAAGGUUAAUAAAGCGGUCCCAUGAUUUGCUAAGAGAUUCUUCUUCCAGUUGUCUAAAAGAAAUAAUCUCACACCGAAGUUCUGCCACUUUAGAGAUUGGAAAAUAUUUUAAAAGAAAACUAUUAUGUAACUCCUUCCAAUCUCCAUGAACACUCCCUACUUUGAGUUUGUACAAAUGUCUAGCUUUUCCCGUUAAAGAGAACGGAAAGAGCUUCCAUUUAAGGGUCUCAUCGGACAUUCCUUCUAUGCGAAGGAGGUCACAGACUCGAUAAAACUCUCUUAGGUGGGUGUAUGGGUUUUCCUCACUUUCUCCUGAGAAAGGUUGUUUUUGAACAAAUUCUAUGUAUUCGGGGUCUAUCUCAAAACUAGAUGCUAUGAUAGGCUUUGAAGAUUUUGGUGGUUCGAGAUGUGUGCCCGUAGGUCUAUGAAAUUCAUAGAUAGACAUUUUUGAAUUCAUGAUAGACCAGAGAUCAAGGAUUAGAUACGAAGAAAGAAUAGCAGAGAUAAGGCAAAGGAUAAAAGGAAAAAUAUUUUUUUUAUUUUUUUUAGAAAAUGAUUAAGCUAGUUCGUAGUCAACUCAGCAACCGUUUCCCCGGCAACGGCGCUAAAAAUGCUUGUUGACACUUGCUAACACCACUUGAAUACUAGGUUGUCAUCCCCAGCAUGGCACUAGAGUAUACUAUGGUAUUUAUACGUACACAGAUAAUCCGCAAGCGCACGGAUACCGUUGAAGCUUUUACCCGGUUAAAGGUUUUAUCGUAUCCACAGGGAAACAGGAGAACCAACUACACUCUAACUUAACCAGGAUAGAUAGAUAAGUGUAAAUAGGAAGAUGGUAGAAUUGAAUAAGAACAAUAUUAAAGGUAAGAUAACAGUGAGUGAUAAUAUGGGAAUAGAGAGUAGAGCAAUUCUAGUAUAUGGGCGAUGGUAGCAGAAUAGAGAGGAUAACUAUGGUUUUUCUACUUCAAAGGGGUAUGUCUAUGUCUGGGACGAACCACGUGAUAAGAGUACACCACAAAGGAUGCUUAUCCUUAGGCCGAUAAACCCUACCCGUCGUGCUAACGAGAGGUGGACUACAGAGGACCAACGUAACUGUCACCUACGUGGCCUACCACACGAUCCAGCUAGACAGGGGAUAUCCACAAGUAAUCUAGAUCUAAGCACCUCGCUUACACCUAUACUACAACUCUCACCUAUAGCGUCCUAUAGAUUAGAAUACUCAAAAGAGUUGUGAACCAGAACAUACAUAAUUAGUAAUUGCAUAAUGAAUUAGAAGUAGAUUACCAGAGUCAUCCCAUGAGCAAGCUUGAUUAGAGCUUGAUCAUGACGAAGUAUAACCGGAGGAAGAACCGACAGGCCGGCCUCUCCUCUAAUCCUCCUUCGCUCUCCAUCUUGCUACUAUCUAGAUCUACUCUAGUUUAGAGAAGAGAGGAGAGCUCUCAUCUCUAAACCCUAGCUUUUGCUCUGUCUAUGAAUAAUGAAUAAUGAUCAAGGGGUGCAUCCUCCAGGGGCCAGGGGGUCUGGUUAUAUAGUCCCCUCAAGUGAACCUGGGCUGUCGGAUCAAACCGACAUUGAUUGAACGGUUAUUCUUGAUCCUUUAGGUCGGUGGAGAUCUCCCGAGAGAAAGAGUCCUGAUUGGGCUCCAAGUCAGGGCGGGCGCCCAGGGCAGGAGGGCGGGCGCCCUGCCUCUAGCCCCGUUCGGCCUCCGCUUCCUUCCCGUGGCUUCUGGAGUCUUCUAGAUGUAAGAUAAUUGCGCGACACAUUAAUAUCUCUAUGUAUUCCCGACGUGUGGGCCUUUCUUCCGUAUUUCCUGAUAACCCCCUACAGAAAUAGACAAACACCAAAACUCAUGGAAUUCUGUCAGAUAAAACCCUAAGUCUAGGUGUUGGUUUCAUUUGGAUCCUUUUCUUUGUUUAUUUGAUAAUUAAAUUUGAUACUUAAGGACCGUCAACAUACGACAGCGACGAGGACAGAAUGGCUCCAGAACCGCUGGGCCCUCGAGUCUUCAGCAGAGCAAUCCGCAGCACGCCAUUGCCAAACCCGUUUUGACCCCCGACCAGCAUUGCUAAAUAUAACGGUGAAACAAAACCAGAGCUAUGGCUGGCAGACUUCCGGCUGGCCUGCCAGUUGGGAGGUGCUCGAGGAGACGAUCGAGCCAUCAUCCGCCAAUUACCGCUCUAUCUCUCCGAUACCGCUCGCAGAUGGCUCGAGGAGCUCCCAGCCGACCAGAUCCAUGACUGGACCGAUUUGGUCUGAGUAUUCGAAGGCAACUUUUAAGGGACCUACAUACGACCCGGCAACUCAUGUGACCUCAGUAAGUGCAAGCAAAAAUCAGGAGAAACUCUCCGAAAGUACGCUCGACCUUUCUCGAAGCAGCGCACCGAGCUUCCGCACAUCCCCGACCACGACGUCAUACUGGCCUUUGUCUCAGGCACCGCCUGCAAACACCUGGUGCGGGAGCUAGGCCAAAACCGCCCUCAGACCAUCGACGAGCUGAUGGACAUGGUGGCAAACUAUGCUGCAGGUGAGGAGGCGGUUGGUGCUUUCUUCAGCCAUGAAGGAAGCAAAGAGAAGGUGCCAGUGGAUGACGACGAGGGCCCUAGCCGAGGUUCUAAGAAGAGCAAGAACAAGAAGAAAGCGCGACCAUUCAAGCGCGAGGCCCUCGACGAUGAUUUCGUCGCCGCCGCAGAGCGCAAAAAGCCUCGAGGCCCCCCGGAGGGGGCCGUCUUCGACAAAAUGCUAAAGGAGCCCUGUCCUUAUCACAAGGGAGGAGCAAAUCACAAGCUCAAAGACUGCCGCAUGCUGAAAAGGUACUUCGACGGCCUUGGGCUGAAGUAGGACGACCAAAGGAAGGACAAGAGCGACGACAAUGAGGGAAACAAAGAAGACAAAGGUUUCCCUGCCGUCCAUGACUGCUACAUGAUCUACGGUGGGCCCUUGACGUAGCUCACCGCGAGGCAACACAAGAUGGAGCGCCGUGAGGUCUUUGCGGCCAGGAUGGCGGUGCCCCAGUACCUCAAUUGGUCGAGCACCCCCAUCACCUUCAACCGCGACAACCAUCCCGACAUGGUGGUCGCUCCCGGCGUCUACCCGCUCGUCGUUGACCCCAUCAUCAUCAACACUAGGCUCUCGAAGGUACUGAUGGAUGGCGGCAGCAGUCUGAACAUCAUUUAUCUCGAGACCCUCGACCUCCUCGGCAUCGAAAGAGCACAGCUCCAGCCAAGCGCGGGCGGCUUUCAUGGCGUUGUGCCAGGAAAGAAGGCGUUACCGGUGGGCCGAAUCGACCUGCCGGUCUGUUUCGGCACGGCGGCCAACUUCCGAAAGGAAACUCUCAUCUUCGAAGUGGUGGGAUUUCACGGCAUGUACCACGCCAACAUCAGAUGACUGGGCUACGCCAAAUUCAUGGCUAUCCCCAAUUACACCUACCUGAAGCUGAAGAUGCCUGGGCCCAAGUGGGUCAUCACCGUCAGCUCUUCCUACGAGCACGCGUACGAGUGCGACGUCGAAUGCGUCGAGUAUGGAGAAGCCGUCGAGAACUCUACCGAACUCGCCUCGAAGCUCGAGGCCCUCGCUGCUGAGGCUCCAGAGCCCAAACGUCACGCGGGCAGCUUCGAACCAGCGGAAGGCACGAAGAAAAUCCCGCUCGACCCCAACAGCUCCGACGACAAGGCACUGACGAUCAGCGCCGACCUCGACCCCAAAUAGGAAGCCGUGCUCAUCGACUUUCUCCGUGCGAACGCUGACAUGUUUGCAUGGAGUCCCUCGGACAUGCCAGACAUACCGAGGGAAGUCGCCGAGCACUCCUUGGAGAUUCGAGCCAGUUCCAAACCAGUGAAACAACGACUGCGUCGCUUCGACGAGGAGAAACGCAAGAUCAUUGGCGAGGAGAUCCACAAGCUUUUGGCGGCCAGAUUCAUCAAGGAGGUUCAUCAUCCUGACUGGUUAGCAAAUCCUGUAUUAGUUAAGAAAAAGAAUGAGAAAAUGAGGAUAUGUGUCGAUUACACGAGUUUGAAUAAAGCAUGUCCAAAAGUUCCCUUUCCUUUACCACGCAUCGACCAAAUUGUUGAUUCUACCGCGGGAUGUGAAACCCUUUCAUUCCUCGAUGCAUAUUUUGAUUACCAUCAAAUAAAAAUGAAAGAAUCCGACCAGCUCGCGACAUCUUUCAUCACGCCUUUUGGGAUGUAUUGUUACGUAACCAUGCCCUUCGGGCUUCGAAACGCUGGGGCAACAUACCAACGAUGCAUGCUCCACGUGUUUGGUGAACACAUAGGGUCGAUGGUCGAGGCAAACGUCGACGACAUCGUCGUCAAAUCAAAGAAACGGGGCGACCUGAUUCAGGACCUCGAGAUCGCUUUUGGCUGUCUACGCGCUAAUAAAAUCAAGCUCAACCCCGAGAAAUGCAUCUUUGGCAUACCUCGAGGCAUGCUCCUUGUCGACGAAAGCUGGUCGGCAGUCUACCUUGGGGUAUACCCACGGUAGUAGUUUAUCGGCAGACGGUGCGCAAACUACGAACUCGAUGGUGACGCAAGACACGAACAAGCUUUUUAUCCAGGUUCGGCCGCCGAGUUGGCGUAAUACCUACGUCCUGCGUCUGAUUGUAUUGAUUUGUGUUGAGAGAGUAAUGUGUCCUAGGGGGGUCCCUUGCCCCUCCUUAUAUAGUCCGGAGGGCAGGGUUACAGAUCUGGAAACUAAUCCUAGUCGGUUACAAUUGCCAUAGAUAGUUUGAUAUCAAUUCCUAUUCUAACCGACUAGAAUCCUGCUUGAUUUCCACGUCUUGUUUCCUCGCGCGGAACUCCAAGCUGUCGGAUCAAGCCUUGAGCUUGUCUCGUAAUGGGCCAAGCCUCCUGGCCCAAGUCUAGCCGUAAGGGUAUAGGGGUUUAUACCCCCACAGCUAGUCCCCGAGCACCAUGUAUUGUGAAGUAACACACCAUCUUGAGCUUCUUCGACCAAUGAAAUUUUGACAUCUUCAAUCAGCAUGAAAAUUGCCCAGACAAUUGCGACGGUAUUUUGACCAAAUCUAAACAUAUUUUGAUCAACAUUGACAUCGAAGAAGCCAAUUGCUCGAAGAAUGCAUGGUGCUCUUGAGAAAAAAUAUAUCUUUUCCGGUGAAGUGUGCCCACUUUACUUUUCCGAAAAGUACGGAUCCUCAAUAAAGCAAACAUAUUCACUGCAAGGUGAUGUGUGCCCACUUAGUCCCCGAGCCUGGUAGUAGGUGACGUAGGCACGUGGUGCUAGGGUCAAAAGAAAAUUUCCCAAAAUAGUUUUGAAAUUGAGAUGCAUCGCCAGAUGCAUCGUACCGAUGUAGUCCCCGAGCUUGCUGGAAGGCGAAGCAUGAGCCUUGUAGCAAGGUCUAAAAAAUUAAAAUUAUCCAGUCCUCGAGCAUCUCAUGCUCAUUAGCCAUCGAAUAGACUUAUCGAUUGGACGAGCUGGUCAACCAGUCCCCGGGUGUUCAAUGCUCGGAAAUCGAUACAGCUCGCUGAUUCCCGAACUAAUAGACUAUGCGACCAGUCCCCGAGCAUCAAGCGCUCGGUGGUCGGUGCAAUCCCCACAAAUUUGAUCGACCAGUCCCCGAGCAUCGAGUGCUCGGUGGUCGGUGUAGUCCUUGAAGUUCCGAGUUGAUAGACUGGGCGACCAGUCCCCGAGCAUCGAGCGCUCGGUGGUCAGUAUAGUCCUUGAAGUUCCGAGUUGAUAGACUGGGCGACCAGUCCCCGAGCAUCGAGUGCUCGGUGGUCGGUAUAGUCCUUGAAGUUCCGAGUUGAUAGACUGGGCGACCUGUCCCCAAGCAUCGAGUGCUCGGUGGUCGGUGUAGUCCUUGAACUGUUGAGUCUCUACCAUUUUUUGUCUGCUUGUUUUGAAAAAUUUUACCACAUAAAUGUUGACGUGACGAGACCUCCUGACGGGAUGUCAGAUGGCAGCAUGAAAAGUUGCGCCUGGCAACUGUACAGCCGCCCUUUGCGCGGUUUGAGAAAAGAAAACCAUCAAUUUGUACGAAAACUCCGCCGCAUUAAUUGUCGAUAAUCAUUGAAAACCGAAGCGCCGCGUCCGCCGUAUGGCCCGCCCACUUCCCAAGAAUGCGGGAAGUGAGAGGGGUGGAGUUGCAGUUUACUAAAUCCUAACAUUAACCCCGCAUUGCUUACCCUGCCAUUGCCUUCAAGCUUUCCGCUCUCGCCUUCUUCAACCACCUGCAUCCUCCUAGCUCGAAACCACUCCCGCACCUCCAAUGGUGAAGAGCGACUCCAAGGAGAGGGCCGAGCUGAUGGCCAAGGAGUGGAAGAAAUCCCGCGGCACCGCAAAGUCCCUCGGUGACCUCGUCGAUAUGGGACUGCUGCACAGCCCGGAGCUCGGCGGCUGGAGGGCGCCGGAGGGGGAGAGCUACCCCGACCCCCGCGCCGGUGAGAUCGUAGUGUUCGAGGAUUUCAUUAAGAGGGGUUUUGGGGUGCCUGUUCAUCCUUUUUUUCAAGGUCUUCUUUUGUAUUAUGAGAUCGGGAUUUGCAAUCUGCACCCGAACUCGAUCCUUCUUAUUUCCACUUUUAUCCAUUUGUGCGAGGCCUAUGUCGGCAUAGAACCGCACUUCGAUCUCUUUCGCUAUCUUUUUUGUUUAAGAAAGAAGGGAGCGGUUGGAGGCUCCAAGGUUGCAGGUGGAGUAUACCUUAACCUUCGCGACGGGAUGAAGAACCGUUACCUGCACUGUCCAUGGAACACUUCCCUAACCGAAUGGUAUAGGAAGUGGUUCUACAUCAGGGAAGAACCGGGCAGCUCCACGUUCUGCGACGUGGGGUACAUCCCCGAGAAGAGGAUAAGCUUGACCGACCGCCCAGAGUUCGACGGCCAAGUGGCGGAUCUAAUGAAGCUGAUCGACUGGUCGCGCUUGGACGGGUUGGGCGUGGUCGGCAACUUUGUAUGUUGUCGGGUGAUGCCCUGCCAGAAGAGGGUGCAUUCGUCGUACGAGUAUGCCGGGAGCCUGGACCCGACCAGGAUGCAGCCUGAGGUCUUGGAUAAGGCAAAGGUGCAGCAGCUGUUGAACGAGCUGUUCAACUUUGCGGACGGGGGCUUCGUCCGUGGCAGUGAUCGGGUGCAAGCCUUCAAGUUGGGGCGACCAGCACCUAAGGUAUCUUACCAGUUAUUUCUCCUUAGCAUUUAUUAUUGUCAGUUGCUGACUUGUCUUUGUUACUUUUGCAGAUCGGAGAUGUUGACCGGUGCACAGUGUAUGUGUCACUGGCGCCUGGGAUGGAGAAUCCCGCAGGGGAGGAUCCGCCGGUGGAGGACGCUGCUCGGUGUGAUCGGUACACCAGCAGUGAAGAGGAGCAAGCCCGUCCGGCCCCGACCACCGAGGAGAGAGUGGCGGGGAAAAGGCCAUUAGCAGCAGAUCCUUCGCCUGCGCCGACGCUGCCGGCAGAGAGCAGCCAAGCGCCAAAGCGCCGUCGGCUCGUCCGGAUCACCGACGACGACGACGAGGAGGAGGAGGAGGCCGCACCAUCGCUGGUCCGAAGGCCUCGUAGCCGUCCGGACAGUGCACCGGCCACUACGGAUCAGGUGGCCAGCGACCCUCCUGCGCCGCGCGUUAUGGAAACGGCGGCGCAGGUGCCGACCGGCAGGGCUAGGAGGAGGUUCAAUGCGGCCCAUCGUCGAUCAGAUCUGUAAGUGUUCGACUUACGCACUUUGGCGAUUGUUUGUUUUUUUUUGCUGAAAAUGCUGCUUUGUUCUUUAGCGCGGCGUCGGACGUCAACCCCGACCACGCCGCCGACCAGAGGGUGGCCGAGCCUGCUUGUGCCGCUGAGGACGCGGCGCCGCAAACCGCGGAGCAGCCUGCGGCUGCAGCCGUGCGUGAGAGCGCCGAGGAGCUCCCGGCCUCGGCACAGACUGCGGCGAGCAGCCCGACAAGGGUCGAGGAGACUACGGCGAUGCCUCCCCCGAGUAACGCCACAGAAGGGGAGGACAGAGCCCUGACCCCUCCCCCCGUCGAAGGGAGGGAGGUCCCAACGCCACCCCGGGCAGGAGCCUCUUCGACUGCAGGCUCCCCGGGCCCGGUCCAGGGGCCGGUAAUGCCUGCGACCACCACCGGGGGCGAUGCAGCGGGCGAGGGAACCCGAGCAGCCUCCGACGACGAGGUGGAGGAGAUUGAAGGUCGUCCUCGUGAUGGCCGCCAACACGUAUAUGUGUGGCGCCAACGCGGGGACCACUUUAUCGGGCACGAGGAGCUCGCUGAAACAGAAGAGGCCACCAGAGUAGAGCGCGCGGCCAAGCGUCUCGUGGACGACGUCAAGGUAAGUGAUCCUUUGCGCUGUUCGACACUGUUUGUGUUGUCUUGCUUGGUCAACAUAUGUUCGUUUUGUAGGGCGCAAUGAAAACGGCGAAGUACCGGAAAAGGUGCUUCGACCAAAUAGAAGGCAUCGUGGCCGAGAACAAGGCCCUGACCGCGGAGGUGGACCGGCUGCGGUUGGAGGUUGGGGAGAAGGUGGCUGAGGUGAACGCCCAGGAGGAGCGUCGCCUCGAGCUCACUCGUCGCUUGGCCGACCAGUAUCGGCGGCGGUCAGGUCAGUCACGUGCUCCGAGCAGCUGUGUGUAGCGGCGUAGUUUGCUUUGCUGACCAGGUUAUGGUUCACGUAGAUUUGGAGGAGGAGGUGGCGUGCCUCCGACAGGAGAAGGAGCAGCUCGGUCAAGAGCUUGCCGGGGCGCUGGAGGCCAGUCGCCGAGCAGGGGAGGAGCUGGGCCAGAGGGACCGGGAGUUGUCUGGUAUCACGCGCCGCCCCCGUUAUUCGCUGCUUAUUGCUCUUUUUGAUAUGCUGAGUCUAACAUCUUCCUCGAUUUGCAGUGCUCAAGGUGAACGCCAAGAAGCACCUGGAUGAGCUGGUUAAGGAUCGGGACUCCUGGAAGGUUAACUGUUGUAGGAUUUGGAAAGGAGUGGCCCCAGUCCUGGACUUGAUCAGUCCCGAGCUCCCGGAGAGCCAGCCCCGCGCGCCGAGAUUGACGCCAGUUGAAAAGGCGCAAAGGGCGUGGGACAGGCUUCAGCAGUUCGUGAAGGACGCCGGGGAGUUUGCUGGCACGCAUAUCCUUAGCAUGGUGCGCACCCACUACCCCCUGGUCGACUUGACCAGGCUGGAGAAGGGGUAUCCUAAGGAGAUCGGCCCGCAGGAGGCGGAUGAGCUUCGGGGUGGUCUGCUGGACUUGUCGUCGACGGUGAUCGGCGACAUCAAUCUAUGCGGAACGGCCACUCCCCCCGACCAGCCGGGCUCAGACAGGUCGGCCAGGGAGCUGUCUGGUGCGUCUAUUGCGGGAGAUGGGCGGUCGACGCCUGCGGUCUCAACCAGCCAAGCGCUGGUGGCCCCGACCCCUUCGUCCGGGCAGCAAGGCCAGGCGGGUGAUCAGCCCGAGCAGUAGGCCAGUAGGGUAGUCUGUAGGAGUAGACUAGUGUCCGCCCGUCAGGGUAUUUAUUGUAAACUUUGUAUGUAAAGUUUGUAAUAAAGUUUGCUUUUGUCAUGACUGUUAUUUUGAGCGCUGUACAAUUAUCUGAGUGACGUGCCACUGUGUUUGAUUCAUAGUUGCUAAGAGCUUCCGUCGCAGAAGACUUUCCGAGCUCUGCGUGUAAACAAAGUAUAGCCAAAAAGAAAAACUUUUAUUAUUGACAGCUAUAAGGGAUUUGCAAGCAAAAGUUACUAGAACUUAUGGAUAAAAUCGGCGCAGUUUGUCUAUGUGCCAAGAGUUAGGCACACGUGUUCCGUCUGGAUAUGCCAAUCUGUAGGAUGUGGGUCGUGUGACUUCAGCGACCACAAAGGGUCCUUCCUAGGGAGUUGAUAACUUGUGCAUUCCUUCUUGGCUUGUUUUCCACCUGAGUACCAGAUCGCCGACCACGAAGGAACGGUCCUUAACGUUCCUGUUGUGGUACCGUCUAAUUGCCGCAAGAUACAUUGCUGUUCGAAGGCACGAAUUUAGACGCUUUUCUUCCAUGCAGUUGAUUUCGAGUUCCCUGGUUUGUCAGCCGUUGACUGGUCGAAGUUCUCAAUCCUUGGAGAUCCGAAGGUUAUGUAAGAUGGCAACACUGCCUCGGUGCCGUAAACCAUGAAGUAGGGUGACACCCCAGUGUUCCGACUAGCCUGUGUUCGGAGACCCCAGACCACAGCCGGCAACUCUUUCAUCCAUCGGCCAGGUGCUCUGUCGUUCUCGGUGUACAACCUUUUCUUUAGGGCGUCGAUGAUCAUUCCGUUUGCACGUUCAACUUGGCCAUUUGCCCGUGGGUGAGCUACUGACACGUAUUUUAUGACUAUGCCUCUGUCAUCGCAGAAGUCCCAAAAUGUGGUGCCAGUGAACUGAGUACCCAGGUCGGUGAUUAUACUGUUUGGGAUCCCAAAUCUGUGUAUGAUUUGAUUGAGGAACUCCACGGCCUUCUCGGAGGUUGCUUUGACCAGUGGCAUGUACUCAAUCCACUUUGAAAACUUGUCGAUUAAUAUGAAGACGAACUUGAAGUUACUAGGGGCCGACUUAAAUGGCCCGAUCAUGUCGAGCCCCCAGCAGGCGAAAGGCCAGGACGACGGGAUAGUUUGAAUCUCAUGAGCAGGUACGUGGGUCCUUUUAGCGAAGAACUGGCAUCCCUCACAGUGUCGGACCAGUUUUUCUGCGUCAUUGACCGCGGAUGGCCAAUAAAAACCUGCUCGAAAAGCUUUCCCGACCAGCGUUCUGGAGGCAGCAUGAUUACCGCAGGAUCCGGCAUGUAUGUCGCCUAGGAGCUUGAUGCCAUCAUCCUGGGAUAUGCAUUUGAGCAACACUUCAGAACUUGCAUUUUUUCGCAUAAGUUUGCCGUCCACUAGUAUGUAAUUCUUUGAUCGUCGAAUGAGGCGCUCGUUCUCUAUUUUAUCCUGAAAGCCUGACCCGUCCGAUAUAUAUCUGAUGAAUGGGGUGCGCCAAUCGCGGUUACUGGUUGUCGGAGUAACGUCGUCUAUGAGCAUUGCCUCAUGGAUGUCCUGGACGAAAACACCUCGCGGGAUCUGGGCCCGAGAUGACCCUAACUUUGACAACGCAUCUGCUGCCUGUUUCUUAUCCCGGACCACGUGGAUGUACUCUAUGCCAUAGAAGUUGGUUUCCCAUUUGCGUAUUUCUUUGCAGUAGAGAUCCAUCUUCUUGUGGGUUGCGUCCCAUUCCUUGUUGAGCUGGUUGAUAACUAAAGCGGAGUCGCCAUAGACAUAAAGGCGUUUGACUCCCAACUCAACGGCUAGUCGGAUGCCGUGCAGGCAUGCUUCGUAUUCGGCGACAUUGUUUGAUGCCGGAAAAAGGAUCCUAAGGACGUAACGCAGUUUGUCCUUGUUAGGAGACACAAAAAGAAUCCCCGCGUCGGCGCCGUUGAUGUUCAAGGACCCGUCGAAGAACAUCGACCAGUGAUCGGAGACGUCGGGAACGGGAGGCUCGUUGAGAUCCGUCCAGUCUGCAAUGAAGUCGACCAGGGCCUGAGACUUGACUGUGGUGAGGCUCUGGAAUUCCAGGGAGAAUGGGCAUAAUUCCAUUGCCCAUUUUACAAUUCUGCCGUUGGCGUCUUUAUUGCGCAGAAUGUCCCCAAGAGGGAAACUGGUGGUUACCAAGACUCGAUGGCCGUCGAAGUAGUGCUUUAGCUUUCUCGAUGUUAUUAGAAUGGCGUAUAUGAGCUUCUGUAUUUGUGGAUAUCUGGCCUUGGACUCGUUGAGGACUUCGCUUAUGAAGUAAACGGGUCUCUGGACCUUGUAGACAUGAGCUGGCUCGUCUCGCUCGACCACUAUUGCCGUGGAAACAACCCUGUCGGUUGCAGCAAUGUAAAGGAGUAGGUCUUCAUUGGGCUGAGGCGCUGUAAGAACAGGUGGUGAAGUGAGGAAAUUCUUAAGCUGGGUGAACGCAGCGUCGGCUUCCUCUGUCCUGUUGAUGCAAAACUGAUCUGCAAACACAAAGGGCUAAUACCCGAUUCAAACGUUAAGGCGUGCCAGCCGAUUUGACCUUGCUAUCGGCAAAGGUGAUAACUCGAAUACUUUAGUCCUGACAACAGCGAUGCGCCCGGAUGUCACGGCUAAGAGGUAUUCACGCGGAACUUGAGAACACGCCGAGCUUAAGUCGAUGAAUUCCUAAGAACUCGUAACAAAAGGAAAAAGUAUGACGAAGUCGUCGAAAAGUAAAUGCUGGAAUAUGAGUAAAAAACGUGUGUUUGAUUCAUUGAUUGAUGAUUUAUUACAAGGCCCUAGGGUCUAUAUUUAUACCCUGCUCAAAGAGCUACAACCAGACACGAUUAGAAUUCGAAUUCCAAAUUACACGGAAUCCGUAUACAAAACGAUGCAAAUAAUUAAGGAAAUAACAAAACUAUCCCUCGUGACAAACCGAAACUCCUCCACAUAACGACCGGCAGCUUCCGGACUCCCUCUUUGCAUCAUCGGCAGACCCUUUGCCAUAGUCAUCGGCAGACUUUCUUAUCUAGCCAUCGGCACCAUAUUACUGCCUAUGGACUUAGUCACGUUCAACUUCUCCCUCAUCGGUAACCAUCCUCAUCGGCAACCCACUUUGUAAACAUCGUACUGCCACCUUAUCCUGCCAUCCUAGACACGUGCCCAAAAAUGGUGUCAACACAUGCCCCCCAGUUUCGGAGUAUAAAACUAUUAAUGCUCCGAAAUUCUCUGCAGUAAUGAUGCCUUUUCCCGCAAUUAAUGCUCCUAAUCUGGUAACCGACAACCUCAAUCUGAACAACUCUGAUCCUAUUCCUCCGCAGAUUCCUCGAAAUCCCCAACCUCCUAAACAGGCAUUUUUCUCAGUCGUACAUCGGCAACAAUACCGUUACAAAGAUCUGCCGAUGAUCUGACCAGGAUAUUCGCACAAACGGUUACUUCCCCUCUAUCCGCCCAUCGGCAAUAUGACCGUUAUAGAAUAUUGCCGAUGGACCGACCAGGAGAUCUCGCACAGUAAAAUAUCUUCAGAUAAUGACCGCUUCCCGUCAAAUCACCUGCACAAUCCCUGGAUUACCGUGCGAACAGUUACCAUAUCCACCUGAGUACCCUCGGAUUUCUCGGAUGCGGCAAGGAGAUAAGUCGGAUUUGCCCUUGCCCAUUUUGUCCUAUAAAUAGUUCGUUCUUGGGUACUCCUUCCCCAUCACACCAUUCUACUACCCAACUUUACUUUUCCAGCGGCGGCGCCACCAAAAACUCCUAAGGUCUCCGACAAGUACCCCUCUUCACCAACUCCGGCGCCUUCACACACUUCCUUCGCAGCAAGAUGGCCGUCGGGUUCGUCGUCCCUGAGGUCAAAUCUCCACCCCGUCUUCUGUAUUUUUUCUUCAUAUCCCUGUUCACUCGCAAUUCAUUUUACUAAACAUCUUCCUUUUCUUUCCUCUUUGUAUUUCUUUUUACGCCCAAAAUCACUAGGAAUUGUCCAACAAAAUUGUCAUCCCCACCGAUCAACCACACCUUCAAUGCCUCGGCCCUCUAGGGGACCCAGAUCCAACUGACCUUAUCAACGCAGAAACCAACAGGAUCCCCUUCAGAGCCGAAAAUUUUUCCUUAGAUCUGUGGAAGGACACCUUCCGCUCUUGGCCCAGCCCAACUGUAGGGUGGAAAGACUGGUUCUUGAGGGUCAGCAACUCUAAUGAAGUUCAGUGGGGUGAAAGGAAUCUAGCCCAAUGCAUUAGAUUGUCCAUUGCCGAUAUGCAUAGGAACGAGUCACUGCUGAUAGCUGCAUCCUACUUUUGGUCAGACACCCUCAAUGCUUUUGCCUUUGGCCACGGCCCUGCUUCUCCUACUCUUGCCGAUGUAGCCAUGCUUACUGGUCUAGAUAUAUCUUCUGCCGAUAGCACCCACCUUUUUGAUACUGCCCCUAGUGCCAAAGUGGAGACUCGCGCUAUCGGCGGUUGGUCGGGGUACAUUCAGAGGUACCGUGGGAAAGAAUCUGUCACCAUAAAGGAACAAACCACCUUUCUAAACAUGUGGCUGGACAAGUUUGUAUUCUGUGGUCGAUCGGCAGGACCGACUUCUGUCUACCUAUCGGCAGCAGAAAGACUGGCUAACGGUGGCCGAUUCCCUCUUGGCCGAUACUUGCUGGCGCUGCUUACCACCUUCUCCAUCAAGUAGCCCAGAAACUUCUGCUCGGCCAAUCCACUGGCAACUUGGGAGGCCCCUGGUGAUUUGUCAACAUGUGGCUCAAUCUGCAUCUGCACAAGCGUCUCAACUUCAACCUGUUCACACAGCGUUUCCCAAGAGAUAUAGCUGAAAACCAUGUAUUGGGUGAAGAGGAAUCGGCAACACGCGCCCCCUUGAACUUUGGCGAAGCUGUCAUAGUUCUGCCUGGUUCAGGGGGUAAUCCAGAUCAGAUUGGCCGAUUCUUCCAGACUCUGUAUGAGGGUUUGACCAGAGACGAACGACCAUGGUUGGCUUAUGAUGACCCAGAUAGCAUGCUCCCUCUGACCUUCAAUCCAUUUGAUGAAGCUCUCGACAGGGACAAUGUGGUGAUAAUGGCAAUUGUGACUCCUAGAAUCAUUCCAGUGAAUUUCUUUGGUAGCACAAAAACCUCCCCUCAAACUUACGAAUUUUACAAUCCAUCGGCAUUAGCUCGCCAGUUAGCUUUCGGCCAGUUGCCGAUUGCACUUCCUUAUGCCGAUGUGAUAAAACCCAGAGAAACUAUCAACAACCUUCUUGAGUGGACUCGAGCAGCCCAACUACCACCAAACGCCGAUAUAGAUGUAGAUCUGUCAGAAUGGGUUCCGGCUGCUUUUAUCACUCAGGCAUACAAGUUAUGGUGGGCAGAAUGGAAAGAGCAUCUAUUCUGCAGAUCGGCACUUUCAUACCGCGGCAUGAUUGACUCCGAAUACGAAGUUCCCGAUGACACUGUAAGUAACUCAAACCAACGUUUCAUUUUCUCAAUAUUACUUCCAUCGGCAGCUUACCCUUGUAUUCCUUUUGCAGGUUGACAAUAUUCCUCCAUUGGUUAGCAGGAGUGGCAAGCCGAUCGACUUGUUUCCAUCAGGCCCAAUUUCCUCAAUCGGCCACAAUGCUCCCACUCUAGCUUCCAUCGUGCAUCGGGGUGUACGCCUCAGGAAAGUCACCACCAGAAGAACCCAGACAUCACCAACGGUUGCUGCUCCCACUCUUGCGCGGGCUUUCAAGGCAAUUUGUCAAAUCUUUUCCUUUAUGCUGACUAUCUUUAUAUCGGCUAUAUUUAUGCUUAUAAACUCUUGUUCAUUAUUGCAGCAAACCGGCGCAUCGGCGAAAGCCAGGUGUGAGAGUACCGAUGCCCCCCAGUCUAGCCAACCCAAGAGAAAGGGCACCACGGGUGCUAAGACUGGAACAAAGCGCCAGAAGGUAGCAACUCCCCCUCCUCCUCCGGUAUCUCCAAUUCCGGUGCAGUCUUCUCCUUCUUCUCCAGAAGCCCAGCCACAGCAAGCACCAUCUCCCCCACCUAUGCAGGAAGCACCACAGAUAGAAGAACCCCAACAGGAAGGACCUCAAACAGAAGAUACAUCAGCUGACAUGGAUGAACAAACAACUGGCCCGGUGGGUCCAGUUAUACCAUCGGCAGUUCUCCCGAUUCAGACAACCGUUGUCCCUCCUCCAGGUAACAUACUUUAACAAUAUCGCUACCGAUGAACUUAUUCUUAUUUAGUCUCAUAACUCCCUUUGUCUUCUUUAAGUUGAUAUCGUUCCAUCGGCAAUCUCAGCCGAUCAACCUGUAGCUCCAUCGGCAUCUUUGGCCGAUCAGCCUGCAGCUCCGUCAGCACUUCUCAGUCAAAGACAAGAGAUCGCCUUGAAGCAAGUAAGUCACCGUUUACCGUUAGCACUAUUUGCCGAUUCUCUGAGUAUGAGCUAAUUUUGCUUUCCCUCCCAGGAACAAGAUUCUCCCGAUAGCCUGUUCUCCUUCGCCAUCGAUCUCUCUGAAGAAGAAGGUGAAGAAGCAAGCUCUUCUUAGACGGUCGGCAUCACAUCGGCAGAGAUCAGGGUCAGGCUGGAAGAAUUGUCAGCUCUCCUUCACCAGGACACAGCACAAUUGGUUGAUGAUUCCGACCCUACCAAGACCCUGUUCAGAACUCUCAGAGGCCAAAUCCCAGCCGAUGUUGAAGAAAUCCUGUUCCAAGCCGCUCAUCUGGAGAGUCGCCAGCUGCAGUACCAAAGAGCUUCUCGGCGGCUUGCCGAUAGAGCCGCUCAGACUCAACUCUCCGAUGAAAUGAGGAAAGAGAAGCUCUUGACCGAUGAGAAGCACAAGAACAUCGGUAUCCUGAGAUCUUCUGGAGACGCGCUGAAGCAGAAGAUAUCCGAUCUAUCGGCAAGAAAAGAAUCCCUGUUGGCGGAGCUCAAGGAAGUAGAGAACGCUCUGUCCCAAGCCCAACAGGAAGAGAGCCAAUUGCCAGAGACCAUCAGGCUUCUUGAGCACGAGCGAAAUGCUCAUGGUCGCAAGGCACUUCAACUGAAGAAGAAGCUGAAGCCGAUAGAAGGUUCUGCCGAUGAUGACAUCAAGGAGAUAGAAGCAGCCAACCAAAUUCGGCUACGCGCUAUAUCGGCAAUCCAGACGCUGCUUAACACAUAGAGUUUCCAUCGGCAUUGUAUCUGCGCUUUCCUGCUUCCUCAGCUUUUAGUCUAGCCGAUAGGACUGUUAUCGGCACCUAAACUUUUGAAACACCAAGUCUUGUCCCCAAGCAUUUGGAUCCAGCCGAUAGGAGUGUUAUCGGCACCUAAACUUCUAUGCAUCAACCCAUAUACUGGGGUAGUACUUCUUUAAAUAUUUGCCGUUUAAUGCUCUGGGAAAUUCAAUUCCUUCGAGGGUUUCUAGAAUGUAGGCAUUACCAGGAGCCGAUCGACUUAUCCGAUAAGGACCCUCCCAAUUAGGAGACCACUUUCCAAACUUCGAACUUUUGGUCCCAAUUGGUAAAAUUAAUUUCCAUACCAAAUCCCCAUCGGCAAACUCUUUAGCCUUCACUUUCUUAUCAUACCAUCUAGCAACUCUCUUCUUAGUUUCUUCUAUACUCAUUAAAGCUUUUAACCGAUGCCCUGCUAGAUCGUCCAAUUCAUCGGUCAUCAAAGUGGCAUAACCAUCGGAAGUUAAUUGAUCUUGAAAAGAUAAUCGCCUAGAUCCAGCCUUAAUUUCCCAAGGCAACACUGCAUCAUGUCCAUACACCAAUUGAUAGGGUGAUACUUUGGUCGAUCCAUGACAAGCCAUCCGAUAAGACCACAAUGCUUCAUUUAAUAAUGUAUGCCACCGCUUAGGAUUUUCUUCAAUCUUUCGUUUAAUAAGCUUGAUAAUUCCUUUGUUAGACGCUUCGGCCUGCCCAUUGGCUUGAGCAUAAUAAGGAGAAGAAUUCAACACUUUAAUUCCCAUACCGAUUGCGAAUUCAUCGAACUCCCCCGAUGUGAACAUGGUGCCCUGAUCGGUAGUAAUCGUUUGGGGAAUCCCAAAUCGGUAAAUAAUAUGCUCCUUCACAAAAUCAAUCAUAUUGGCCGAUGUGACUUUCUUCAAAGGAAUAGCUUCAACCCACUUAGUGAAAUAGUCAGUGGCAACUAGAAUGAACUUAUGCCCUUUGCUAGAUGGUGGAUAAAUCUGGCCGAUCAGAUCGAUGGCCCAUCCCCGGAACGGCCAGGGCUUUAUUAUAGGAUUCAUAGCCGAUGCGGGUGCUCUCUGGAUAUUACCAAACUUUUGACAACCUUGACAUCCCUUGAAAUAUUUAAAACAAUCUUCAAGUAUGGUUGGCCAAAAAUAUCCAUUCCUUCGAAUCAUCCACUUCAUCUUAAAAGCUGACUGAUGCGCUCCACACACACCUUCAUGGAUUUCCCCCAUCAAACUUCUAGCUUCAUCAUCACCCAAGCAUCGGAGAAGAAUUCCGUCGAUAGUUCGAUAAUACAAUUCAUUUUCAAGGAGCACAUACUUGGUUGCUUGAAAUCGAACCCGUCUUUCAACUUUUUUGGAUGGAUCUUUUAGAUAAUCAAUAAUUUCUUUCCUCCAAUCACCGGCACCGACUGCCGAUGUCGCAUUAAUCAUUGGCUGAUAUCCCGAGGCAUGCUGAGCUAACCGAUUAGCGUCUUCAUUAUGCAAUCGGGGAACAUGCUCCAAUCGGAAAUCCUUGAAUUCCUUUAACAGUUGCAUACUUCUCUCGAAAUAAGUUAUGAGAACUUCACUUCGGCAUUCAUAGCUUCCGGCCAAUUGAUUUAUAACCAACAUAGAAUCCCCGAAUAUUUCAACAGCAUCAGCACGAACUUCUCUUAACAACUCCAAUCCCUUGAUCAGAGCUUGAUACUCAGCCUGAUUAUUUGUUGAUGUGGCAACAAUCGGCAAGGAAAACUCAUACUUCCUCCCCUUAGGGGAAACUAAUACAAUGCCGAUUCCUGCCCCCCGGUCACAGGUAGAUCCAUCAAAGAAGAGCGUCCAGGGUACAAUUUCCAAGGUUUCCACUAGACCGCAAUGCUGAGUCACAAAAUCGGCCAUAAUCUGCCCUUUAACUGCCUUAGCCGAUUCGUAACGCAAAUCGAACUCCGACAGCGCUAAAAUCCAUUUACCGAUCCUACCACUCAUAAUCGGCAUAGAUAGCAUGUAUCGGACCAUGUCAUCUUUGCAAACAACAGUGCAUUCGGCCGAUAACAGGUAAUGUCUCAGCUUGAUACAUGAAAAAUAUAGGCAUAAGCAUAGUUUCUCAAUGGCCGAAUACCUGGUUUCAGCAUCAAUCAACCUCCUACUCAGAUAAUAAAUUACCCUUUCUUUCCCUUCAAAUUCUUGAACUAAAGCUGAACCGAUAACCGAUCCAUCGGUAGAUAAAUACAAUCUGAAGGGCUUCCCUUGUUGAGGUGGAACUAGAACUGGAGGAUUUACUAGAUACUUCUUGAUUUCAUCCAGAGCCAACUGCUGUUCUUCUCCCCAAAUAAACUCUUGAUCGGCUUUCAAUUUAGGAAGAGGACUGAAAGCACGAAUCCUACCAGACAAAUUCGAUAUAAAUCUCAUGAUAAAAUUUACCUUGCCGAUCAAGGAUUGGAGCUCGGUUUUGUUGGUAGGGGCCACUAUUUUAUUGAUGGCAUCAAUAGACCUUCGACUAAUUUCAAUACCCCUCUGAUGUACCAUGAAACCAAGAAACUGCCCUGCCGAUACACCAAAUGCACACUUGUUGGGAUUCAUCUUCAAUCCAUGCUUCCUUGUGCACUCUAACACUUUUUGUAAAUCGGCAAGAUGCUUUGAGAAAUCUCCAGACUUAACCACCACAUCAUCAAUAUAAAUCUCCACGAGCUUGCCGAUGAACUCAUGAAAUAUAAAAUUCAUAGCCCUUUGAUAAGUAGCACCAGCAUUCUUCAACCCAAAAGUCAUGACUAUCCAUUCAAAUAGCCCAACAUGACCAGGACACCUGAAUGCGGUUUUUGGAAUAUCCUCCUCCGCCAUGAAUAUUUGAUUGUAACCUGCAUUACCAUCCAUGAAGCUGAUGACCCAAUGACCAGCCGCAGCAUCAACCAGUAGAUCGGCGACAGGCAUUGGGUAUCCAUCCAUCGGCGUAGCUUUAUUGAGAUUCCUGAAAUCAAUGCACACCCGAAGCUUCCCGUUCUUCUUGUAAACCGGAACAACAUUGGAAAUCCACUCGGCAUACCGACACUGCCGAAUAAACUUAGCUUCAAUAAGUUUGGUGAUUUCGGCCUUAAUAUCAGGUAGAAUGUUAGGAUUACAUCGGCGGGCUGGUUGCUGAUGUGGCCGAAAUCCAGACUUGAUGGGUAACCGAUGUUCAACAAUUGAUCGGUCUAAACCAGGCAUCUCGGUAUAAUCCCAAGCAAAGCAAUCUUUAUAUUCCUUUAACAAACUAGUCAAUUGUUGCUUACUCUCAGGAUCUAAUUUAGCACUAAUAAAAGUAGGCCUAGGCUUAUCACCACUACCUAUAUCUACUUCUACCAAAUCAUCGGCCGAUGUGAAUCCCUGGCCUAAUUUUCCAUCAUCGGCGAAUCUAUCCAUUAAAAACCAUCGUCAGAACCGACUGCUUGGAUCGGUGGAAUCUCAUAAUCGGCAACUUUGAGAAAAUCUUUCUCCCAAACUUCUCCUGAAAUGCACCUGGUCCUUUCGUAAGUAUCCGCUUCUGCCGAUGCGAUAACAUAAGAAGAAUCUCCUGGGACAAUCUCAAUCUUGUCACCUACCCACUGAACCAAGCAUUGAUGCAUUGUAGAUGGGAUACAACAAUUGGCAUGAAUCCAAUCUCUUCCCAAUAAUAAGUUGUAAGCACCUUUUCCGCUGAUCACGAAAAAAGUUGUCGGCAAGGUUUUGCUGCCGAUGGUCAACUCUGCACAUAUCGCCCCCUUGACUGGAGACACGUUUCCUUCAAAGUCUUUGAGCAUCAUAUCGGUCUUGGUCAAAUCUUGAUCCCCUUUCCCAAGCUUCCGAUAUACUGCAUACGGCAUAAUAUUAAUAGCAGCUCCACCAUCAACUAGGAUCUUGGCCAUUGGCUGCCCAUCAACCCUUCCUUUGAGGAACAGAGCUUUAAGAUGCUGCCUCUCGUCAUCGGCAGGUUUCUCAAAGAUAGCCGUCAUCGGAUCCAGAGCCAACUGAGCUAUCUGAUCAGAAAAUUCCAACUCAUCAUCACUGGCUGGUGCAAGAAACUCCAUCGGCAACAUGAAGACCAUGUUGACGCCUGCCGAUGGACCUUCCCUCUUAGUGUCUGACGGCUGCCGACUUCCAGAGUUCUCUCCCUUGUUUAGCUCUUCUUGCCUUUCACGUUGCAAUCUCCUUUUCUGUGUCUUGGUUAAUCCUCCAGGGCACCAUGGAGGAAGUGGCCUUUGCCUUGCCGUCGGGCGUCGGUUCUCCCUUGACUCCAUACGAUGCGUGUUAGCAUCCCUGCAAAAUAUGAAUUCAUCGGGAACCCGCGCAUCAGCCAUUUCCUCGAGCUCUUCUUGGUUCCUGGGAAAAUAUUGGACACGGUCACUAAGUCUGUCGUGCCCACUAAAUCUGCCCCCCAGCCGGUCAUGAACUGACACCCUUCCUCUGAUCGGCCCAUUAAAUCGCCGUUCAUCAUCAUGAUAAUGCCGAUCGAUCCUAUCGUACCGAUCAUAACCGUUGCACUCAGGGCAGUCUCUGACAGUAGGAAGCUUGAUAUUUUCCUCCCAACAAUGGAUGAAGAAUGGACAAUUCCAAUGAUCCCUGUGCCGAUUCCACUCCUGUCGGCGUCUUUCUUCUUCCCGUCGAUAAUCUUCCUGCUGGCGCCGAUACCGAUCUUCCCAUUGUUGCCAUUUUUCUCGAGGCCUUCUAUGAGUUAUGACGAUACCAGAUCGAGGAGGCCUUCCUGAGCUAGUUCCUUCCUGGACCAAGCCCUUACUUCUUGCAUCGGCAGUAGUAACUUGAUGCUGAGGAUCUACCGAUGCACUCUUCUCAGCUGUCUCCGAUGUUAAGACCUUAGCCUUCCCCUUAGCAUCCAACAUGUUUGUCGGGAACGGAUGUUGGUCUAUCUUCAUCGGCUUCUGGGCUUUGGAACUGUCAAACUUGAUUCUCCCUGACUCUAUAGCCGAUUGCAGCUGCUGUCUGAAUACUUUGCACUCGUUGGUGUCAUGGGAAGUUGCAUUAUGCCACUUGCAAUAUCUCAUCCUCUUCAACUCUUCUGCCGAUGGGAUCACAUGGUUAGGUGACAGUUUGAUCUGACCUUCCUGGAGUAGAAAGUCAAAUAUCCUAUCAGCCUUAGCGGUGUCAAAAGCAAACUUCUCUGGUUCCUUCUGCCCAAAAGGACAAGACAUCGGCUUCUUGUUUUUUACCCACUCUGCCAAGCCGAUUACUGGUUCUUCAUCAGAAUCUGAGCUUGUUGCUUCAUCGACAAAUGACACUUUCCUAUUCCAUGCUCUUUUAGGCUCGAAAGGCUUGAUGUCUUGAUCAGAAAUCCUCUGCACCAAAUGACUUAAACUUUCGAACUCCUGAGAGGCAUACUUAUCCCUGAUAUGUGGCAACAAACCCUGGAAAGCGAAAUCGGCUAGCUGCCGAUCAUCCAGAACCAAGCUAUAGCAUUUAUUCUUGACCUCUCGUAUCCUCUGCACAAAACCCUCCACCGACUCAUCAUUACGUUGCCUCAACUUGACCAAGUCGGUGAUCUUCUUCUCAUGAACCCCCGAGAAGAAGUAUUUGUGGAAUUGCUUCUCUAGAUCAGCCCAAGUAAUUACUGAGUUGGGAGGUAAUGAUAUGAACCAAGUAAAGGCCGAUCCAGACAAUGAUGAUGAAAAUAGACGAACCCUCAAUUCGUCCCUGUUACCAGCCUCUCCACAUUGAAUGAUGAACCUGUUGACAUGCUCCAUGGUUGACGUGUCGUCCUGCCCGGAAAACUUUGUAAAAUCCGGUACCUUGUACCGAUGUGGAAGCAGGAUCAAAUCAUACGCGGGAGGAUACCGUGUCCGAUAAGAAUAAGUGUUGACUUUGGGUUUUAUCCCAAAUUGUUCCCUCAUUACUUCAGCAAUCUUAUCGGCCCAAUAUGCAUCGGCAUCUUGCCGAUGAGGCGGCUGCGGAUCUGGCACUUGGUGGCGAACCUCCACGUGUCUAUUCGGGACGUGAUCUGCACGGAACAUUGUAUUGAUCACCUGUCCUCCAAUCUGCGGACCACCAAACUGCUGUCCACCGAUUGGCUGUCCUCCGAGUUGCUGUCCAAAAUUCAUUGGCUGGUUGGGAAUCCCCUGACCUUGGAACCCGGGAUAGACCUGCCCUUGCUGGAACCCUAUAGUCUGGUAACUCUGCUAGGGCGAUUGUGGAAAGGCUUGCUGUCCAAGCCAUCCAUUAUUAGCGUUCAUCGGCAUAGGUGCUGCCGAUGAUUGGUAAUUGGGUACCGUCGUUGAAUUGACAUACCCCGACUGGGCCAUAGACCUCUGUUGCAUCAGCAUUGACUCUGCCGAUGCGUUGGGCAUCUGGAACAUUGAAUCUUGAGGAUUUCCAGUGUGAGGCCUUGUAGUAGUAGUUGUGGUAUACCGAGGACUCUGGUUCACCGGCGCAUUGGGAGGUGCCGAGGUCAUAGGAGUUUUGCCCCUCAUGUCAGUUACUUGUGAUGUUCCCGGUGUCAACUCUGGAGGCAUACCGUAACCCCACCAGUUGGGAGGAAGAGUCAACCCUGACAUUGCCGAUGCCAACAUAUCUGUUGUCAGUUUAUGCUGCCCAACUGAAAUUUGUGGGUUGGUUGUCAUCGGCAUAGAUAGUGCACCAGUAGUCCCCGAUGUACUUGGAGGGACGACAGAUUGUGCACUUGCAGUCGUCAAGGCAGCCGAUGGAGCCGUGACCUCUGGUGCCGUUGGCUGAUGGUGGGAGGGGCCCACAUAAUCUGGUGGAAUUUGUCCUUCCUUGAAAGUUCUUGCCACAGCAUUGAAAACCGUAUUAGACAGUACACCAGCUUGGUUAAUCAACGCUCGAUUGAUGGCAUUGUCAACCAUAUCUUGAAGCUUGCCAGGAUUGGCGUCAAAGGUAACCUGCCGUGGUGCCGGCAGUGCAUCUUUCUGGACCACUUCGCCGCUCCUGUUUAUGCUGAAAGACCUCAGGCAUUGCUGCUAGAACUCUUCCAUGGCUUGGGCAAUAGCUUGCUUCUGCUCAUCCUUGAGGUUGGCCUCCGUCACGGGGAUGACGUUCUCUUGAUCGAGGUCAGAGAUCGACAUGUUGAUCUUGAUCUUGAAUCCUGUCCCACUGGGCGUGCCAAAAGAUGUGUUGAUGCAAAACUGAUCUGCAAACACAAAGGGCUAAUACCCGAUUCAAACGUUAAGGCGUGCCAGCCGAUUUGACCUUGCUAUCGGCAAAGGUGAUAACUCGAAUACUUUAGUCCUGACAACAGCGAUGCGCCCGGAUGUCACGGCUAAGAGGUAUUCACGCGGAACUUGAGAACACGCCGAGCUUAAGUCGACGAAUUCCUAAGAACUCGUAACAAAAGGAAAAAGUAUGACGAAGUCGUCGAAAAGUAAAUGCUGGAAUAUGAGUAAAAAACGUGUGUUUGAUUCAUUGAUUGAUGAUUUAUUACAAGGUCCUAGGGUCUAUAUUUAUACCCUGCUCAAAGAGCUACAACCAGACACGAUUAGAAUUCGAAUUCCAAAUUACACGGAAUCCGUAUACAAAACGAUGCAAAUAAUUAAGGAAAUAACAAAACUAUCCCUCGUGACAAACCGAAACUCCUCCACAUAACGACCGGCAGCUUCCGGACUCCCUCUUUGCAUCAUCGGCAGACCCUUUGCCAUAGUCAUCGGCAGACUUUCUUAUCUAGCCAUCGGCACCAUAUUACUGCCUGUGGACUUAGUCACGUUCAACUUCUCCCUCAUCGGUAACCAUCCUCAUCGGCAACCCACUUUGUAAACAUGUCCAAGAAAAUUUUUCCGACGCCUUCAAGAGUUUGAAGAAAGGGAGGCCUUUUUCUCCUAGUCUAGAAAUGAAGCGGCUGAGUGCAGCCAUACAUCCGGUGAGCUUCUGAAUAUCCUUGACAUUUUUAGGUGGUCGCAUGUCGAGUACUGCUUUUACUUUUGAAGGAUUCGGCCGUAUGCCGUCGCGGCUGACGACGUUGCUGAGUAGUAGACCGGAAGGGACGCCGAAGAUGCACUUUUUGGGGUUAAGCUUCCACUUGUACCUAUUUAGCGCCUUGAAGGUUUGGUCUAAGUUGUCGAUUAGGGUGCUGGCGUCCCUUCUUUUGACGACGACGUCGUCUACGUAAGCCUCGACGAGGUCGUCACGAAUCUCGUCGUGGAGGCAUUGCUGGAUGGCCCUUUGAUAGGUGGCCCCGGCAUUUUUGAGUCCGAAGGACAUGGUCGUAUAGCAAUAUGCACCGAAAGGAGUAAUGAAAGAUGUUUUGAUCUGAUCGUCUUCCCUUAGCGAGAUCUGGUGAUAACCAGAGUAGCAAUCUAGAAAAGAAAGGAGUUCGCACAUUCUCCAUUCAUUAUUCUUUAGGACGACCACCUCGUCGAUGCGAGGGAGACCAAAAGGAUCUUUAGGACAGUGUUUAUUGAGAUCAGUGUAAUCAACGCACAUUCUCCAUUCAUUAUUCUUUUUGCGUACAAGAACCGGAUUGGCGAGCCAAUCGGGAUGAUACACUUCUUUUAUGAAUCCGGCUGCUAGAAGCCGUGUUAUUUCUGUCCUAAUAGCCUCCUUUUUGUCACGAGCGAACCAUCGCAACUUUUGAUUGAUGGGUCUUGCGGUCUUCGAGACAUUUAAGGAGUGCUCGAUCAGGUUUCGUGGGACGCCGGGCAUGUCUGCGGGUUUCCAUGCGAAGACGCUUACGUUGUCCCUUAGAAACCUGACGAGCGCGUCUUCCUAUUUAGGGUCCAGGUUGGCCCCGAUGAGGGCCGUCUUCUCGGGGCUACCUUCGACCAGCUGCACUUCCUUGUGUUCCUUGGAUUUUGAGUUCUUUCUGGCAGUCUCCUGCUCGGGUAGUCGAAGCUGGUCGGGGGGUAGCUGUGCAGCCUGGGUUGCCGUCUCUGCCAUGCGGAUUGAGAGAUCGAUUGCUUCGGUGAUCUUGAAGCUCUCCUCCUCGCAAGUAUAUGCAGUGUAGACAUUGCCCCUGACGAUUAGGACGCCUUUCUCCGUGGGCAUUUUAAGGACCAGGUAUGAGUAAUGUGGGACUGCCAUGAACUUUGUUAGCGAUGGUCGGCCCAGUAUAGCGUGGUAAGUCCCGUCAAAGUCAGCGACCACGAAGUUGACGAACUCUGUUCGGAAGUGGUCGGAUGUGCCGAAUUGGACAGGCAAUGUUAUCUGUCCGAGGGGCACUGAACUCUGGCCGGGCAGGACUCCCCAGAAUUGAGCGUCGUAGGGUUUUAGCUGUGCCGGAGAUAACUUGAGAGCGGGCAGGCUGUUACGGAAAAGGAUGUCGAUGGAGCUUCCUUCGUCCACGAGCACCCGCUCGAAUCUGAUGCUGUUGAUGCAAGGGUCCAGGAUUAGAGGGAAACGACCUGGCUCUAGGAUAGCAGCCCACUGAUCCUUCCUGCUGAAGGAGAUCUCUCUGUGUGACCACGGGGGGAAUUUCGGGUCUGCGAUCAGGUCGUCCGAGCUGUCUAUGUUGAGGCAGGCUCUUUUUAGGAGCUUUCUUUCUCACUUAGAUUCGAUGGAGACCUUGCCCCCAAAGAUGGAGUGGACCACGUCGGUGGGACUGACAUACUGGUGUCGUGGGUCCCUAUCUUGGUCCUCGUCCUCAUCUUCAUGGUCGCGUCCGUCUUGCUUCCCAUUCUUUUUGGCGGAGUCGUCUUGGGCGGCUCGCUGUGUGUAAAUGUUUUUGAGGACGCGGCACUCUUCCAUGGUAUGGUUGGACUUUGGAUGCAGUUGGCACGGUCCCUUCAAUGUUUUGUUGUAGUCUUCUUGGUAGUCCCGCCGCCCGUUGGGGCGUUUGACUGUAUUCACUUCGUGGUCAUGGUCGCGGGGGCGCUUUCCUCUGAAAUCGUCGCGAUUGUCGCGCCGCCUAUCCCAACCUUCCCUGUGAUCAUGGUUGUCGGGACGGCGGUGGUUCCUGUUGUCGAAACGACCGUGACUAUCAUCUCGCCGGGGAGGCUGGUCGGGACCUCUCGCAUCAUCCCGGAUGAUUUUUUCUGCGUCGUCGGCGUCGGCGUAAUUUUUAGCCGUGGCGAGGAGCUCGGCCAUCGUUGUUGGCCUUUUGCGCAACAGCUUGUUCCUCAGUGCUUCAUGGAAGCGCAGCCCCUUGAUGAAAGCAGAUAUGGCCUCGUCAUGGGAAAUCUUCGGGAUCUUAAGGCGCAUAUCCGAGAAUCGUCGGAUGUAAUCGCGCAGAGGCUCGUUUUUCCUGUCCCUUAUCCUUUCGAGGUCGUACUUGUUUCCAGGCUGCUCGCAUGUUGCGAUAAAAUUGUCGAUGAAAGCCUGGCGCACCUCUUCCCAAGAGUCGAAGGAGUCCUCGGGCAGGCCAAGGAGCCACUGGUGACCAGCCUGGUCGAGGACUACUGGGAAGUAGUUGGCCAUGACGUGCUCGUCUCCUGCUGCUGAUCGGACGGCGAUCUCAUAAAGAGUGAUCCAGUUUUCCGGAUUUUCCUUGCCGUCGUAUUUUUUGAGUUUCUCAAGCUUGAAAUUGCGGGGCCACACGACCUGGCGGAGGUGUGAGGAGAACUGCCUCAGGCCCGGGGGGCCGUGUGUUGCGUCAUAUUCGAUACGACGUAGGUUUUCGUGGACUGCUCUAUCCGUGGCGCGCCUGUUGAUGCGGUCUCGGGCGUCUUUGGGAGGGAUGUUGUAUCGAAGAUCCCUGUGCUAGUUUACUUCCUGACCACGCCCAUGAUUCUGCUCGCGGCGACCGCCAGCAUCCCGACCGCCAUCGCCACGCCGUGAGUCUUUUUGAUGAUUGUCGGGAGAACGGCUGCGGUGGUGCCUGCUGGGCUGCGGUGAGGUCCGGCUGCGGUGAGUCUGGUCGGAGGUGGCCUCCGUAUAGGAGACGGGUUGGGCUCUUUUGAGCAGAGUGGCUGUCUGUCCCAUUGCGGUGAUUAGAUGUGCUCGAACGCUGGUUCGGACGCCCUGGCACUCGGGAGUAUCAGGGAGCCGAUCUAAAUUGGCCAUGGCGACAGCCACGUUGGCGCUUGGCGUUUUGUAAACUGGCCGAUCCCCGACCAUGUCGAAAGCGUCACUGAGAUUAUGCGGCGGGAUUUGACGUUCCUCGUCCGCACGUCGUCGGGCGCGAUCGGCGUUACGCUGCUCGCGGAGCUGCCUCUGCUCGUCUGUUUCUCCAUCGACGACCGGCUCAUCGGCGCUGACAUUGAAAACAAUGUCUCCUCGCCGCGGUGGAAAGACCGGGAAACGAGGGAAGCCCGGAGGAUGUGAAGGCAAAUCCAGGUCGUAGUCCUCGUCUUCGGAGUUUAUGACCUCGGUGGGGACGGAACCAGUGCUCGAGUUUGUGCUGGAGGGCUGGCCGUCCCGUAGUUCUCGGAUCGUCAACAUGUUGACGUAAUGACGAGCUGGUCGACCGUUCCGUUUUGGCAGCCAACCCGCCUUGUUGAAAAGGGAUUGGACGUGCCGUGAGUAGAGAGAGGCCGAGUUGUUCAGACCACAUGGGUAAUCCUCCUCCGGGUUAGCCUCGAGCUUGACGAAUCGUCCUGAGGGAGUCGAGGUUAUUGUCAGAGACGUUCUCAGCCGUUCGUGUGUAACGACACGAGUUGGCCGGUGCGAGUUGAAAAAAUCCGUUAGAGCGGCUUGAUCAGGCUGGCGCGAGAUCCCAUCUAAUAGUUGGGAAGCUUCGAGUAGCUUGGAAUCAGUGCGAUCAAGUGCUUGGAGAAGAUCCGAGCAGUCGACCUCCUUCCCCUUGUAGCGUGGGAGUGGUGGUCGGGCGCUCGGUGCCGUCAUCCGAGUGGUCGGAGGCGACGUCAUCCCAGAUUGGAUCUGGGUUUCUUCCGAAACCGUGGUCGUGAGACCACCGCCGUGCGUCGUCCACGUGAUCUUGCCGACGGUGAACGUGAGGCCUUUAGGUACGGCCGCGGAAGCUGGAACUAUGACCAUCUUGUUCGCCGGAGAAGUUGUACGCACACCCCCUACCUGGCGCGCCACUGUCGACGAAAGCUGGUCGGCAGUCUACCUUGGGGUAUACCCACGGUAGUAGUUUAUCGGCAGACGGUGCGCAAACUACGAACUCGAUGAUGACGCAAGACACGGACAAGCUUUUUAUCCAGGUUUGGCCGCCGAGUUGGCGUAAUACCUACGUCCUGCGUCUAAUUGUAUUGAUUUGUGUUGAGAGAGUAAUGUGUCCUAGGGGGGGUCCCUUGCCCCUCCUUAUAUAGUCCGGAGGGCAGGGUUACAGAUCUGGAAACUAAUCCUAGUCGGUUACAAUUGCCAUAGAUAGUUUGAUAUCAAUUCCUAUUCUAACCGACUAGAAUCCUGCUUGAUUUCCACGUCUUGUUUCCUCGCGCGGAACUCCAAGCUGUCGGAUCAAGCCUUGAGCUUGUCUCGUAAUGGGCCAAGCCUCCUGGCCCAAGUCUAGCCGUAAGGGUAUAGGGGUUUAUACCCCCACACUCCUGGGUUACAUAGUCUCCCAACACGGCGCCGAGGUCAAUCCCGAGAAAGUCUCGGCCAUUGCGAGGAUGGGGCUGUUUCGAGACGUCAAGGGCGUGCAGAAAGUCACGGUUGCCUGGCGGCGCUAAGCCGUUUCAUUUCAAGAUUAGGGGAAAAGGCAUUGCCACUGUAUUGGCUCUUGAAAAAGGCUGAUCAUUUCUCUUGGACCCCUAAAGCCGAGCAAGUGCUCAACAACCUGAAAAGGACGCUGACCACCGCCUCGGUCCGGGUUCCCCCUUUGCCCACAGAGCCUCUGCUCCUGUACGUCGCUGCAACAACCCAGGUGGUUAGUGUGGCUGUGGUGGUCGAAAGGCUGGAAGAAGGACACGCGCUACCAGUCCAGAGGCCGGUCUACUUCAUCAGCGAGGUGCUCUCAGAGACUAAGGUACGGUAUCCCCAGAUUCAGAAAUUGAUCUAUGUCGUGAUUCUAGCCCGGCGCAAGCUGCAGCACUACUUUCUCGGUCACCCUAUCACGGUGGUCUCGUCCUUCCCCUUGGGCGAGAUCAUCCAGAAUCGAGAGGCCACAGGGAGGAUCGCCAAAUGGUCGGUCGAGCUCAUGAGUGAGACCCUCACUUAUGCGCCCCGCAAAGCCAUCAAGUUGCAAGCCCUGGCGGAUUUCAUCGCGGAGUGGACAGACUCUCAACUCCCCCCAGCUCAGGUUCAAGCAGAGCUGUGGACGAUGUACUUCGAUGGAUCUCUCAUGAAGACGGGAGUGGGGGCAGGCCUGCUGUUCGUCUCACCCCUUGGCGUCCACAUGAGGUAUGUCAUUAGAUACACUUCACCGCAUCUAACAACGUUGCAGAAUACGAAGCCCUCGUCAACAGGCUAAAGAUCGCCAUCGAGCUAGGGGUUCGGCGCCUCGACGUUCGGGGCGAUUCUCAACUCGUCAUCGACCAAGUAAUGAAGGCCUCGAGCUGCCAUGACCUAAAAAUGGAGGCGUACUGCAAGGAAGCACGCCGGCUCGAGGACAAAUUCCACGGCCUCGAACUCGUCCACAUCGCACGACGAUACAACGAGGCGGCCAACGAACUCGCUAAAGUUGUAUCAACUCGAGGUACCGUCCCACCCGACGCAUUCUUGAGAGAUCUGCACGAGCCGUAUGUCGACUUGAGCACGGGGGCUAACGUCGAAGCCCCCACUCCCCAUCCAACCGACACUAUCGAAGCCCUGCUAACGGCAGCAGAAGUAAUGGAGGUGGAACAGCGUCCCGGUCGACUGUUCGACUGGCGUACGCCGUUCCUUGAUUGCCUGAUCUGAUGUGAGCUACCGGAAGAUCGAUCCGAGGCCAAGUCGUACGUGAUCUACGGCGAAAACGAAGAGCUAUAUCGACAAAGCCCAACUGAGAUCUUGCAGCGCUGUAUCACCAUAGAAGAAGGUCGAAAGCUCCUCGAGGAUCUACACUCGGGGGCUUGCGGCCACCAUGUCGCCCCAAGAACCCUUGUAGGGAAUGCUUUCCGACAAGGUUUCUAGUGGCCAAUGGCCGUAGCUGACGCCAUAGAACUCGAGCCACAGGUGUCAAUUCUAUUCCAAGGAAACCCAUCUCCCUGCUCACGCUCUCCAGAUGAUCCCCGUCACGUGGCCAUUCGCGGUGUGGGGUCUCGACCUCGUGGGCCCUCUACAGAAAGCUGCGGGAGGAUAUACCCAUUUGCUGGUGGCCGUCGACAAAUUCUCCAAAUGGAUUGAGGCUCAACCCAUCACAAACAUCCGCUCCGAGCAAGCCGUCCUUUUCUUCACCGACAUUAUCCACAGGUUUGGGAAACCCAAUGUCAUCAUCACUGACAAUGGCACCCAGUUCACCGGCAAAAAGUUCUUGGACUUUGUUGACCGACAUCACAUCCGUUUGAACUGGUCUGCAGUAGCUCACCCUCGAACUAACGGUCAGGUCGAGCGUGCCAACGGCAUGAUUUUGCAAGGACUCAAACCAAGAAUCUACAAUCGGUUGAAGAAAUUCGGCAAGAAAUGGGUCGAAGAACUCUCCUCGGUCCUAUGGAGCUUAAGGAUGACGCCAAGCAGGGCGACAAAAUAUACCCCGUUCUUCAUGGUCUACGGCUCCGAGGCUGUGCUUCCAACAGACCUUGAGUAUGGGUCAUCUCGACUCAAAGCCUACAACGAGCAGACAAAUAAGGAGACCCGAGAGAACGCGGUCGAUCAACUCGAGGAAGCUCGAGACGUGGCCCUCCUCAACUCCGCAAGGUACCAGCAGAAGCUCCGACGAUACCACGACAAGCACAUGCGCAAAAGGGAUCUGAACAUGGGCGAUCUCGUCCUACGGCGACGACAAAGUAAUCAAGGGCGCCACAAGCUGACUCCACCAUGGGAAGGCCCAUACGUGGUGGCCAAGGUCUUGAAGCCAGGAAUGUACAAGCUCACGGACGAAAAAGGGGCGGUCUUCACCAACGCAUGGAACAUCGAACAGCUACGUCGCUUCUACCCUUAGAGCUUCAAAGCUUUGCGUUUUCACGCAUACUUUGUACCGAAAUCCUAUGAAUAAAUAUAUGAAUAAAGGAGAAUACCUUUUCGAGUAGUUUACGCUAUCACCGAACAAAUCUCGACGAUAGGAGGAAGUCCCAACUAUGACCAUCAUAGUCGAUACUCCCUCUGGGGCUAGCAGGGGGACCCCCCAGGUUCCUAAAAACCGAAUGACCUUUCCUCUUAAGUCCUAUACAAAACUUCACAAGAUCAAGUAGCAAAGGCACCUCGAGCCCCUUAAGGGCCGAGAAACGUCAAGCCUGAGAACCCCUACGCCUCGGGCUAUGGCAUCUCUACUCACUUCCUCACCCUUAAGGCAAUCUAAGACGCCUUAACAAAAGAUCGAACGAGAAUGCAAAGUUAGGUAGAAAAGGAAACAAAUGAAAUUCGAGCAUAAAAAUAAACCAAUAUACACAAUUCUUAAGACCAUUCAAGCCAUAGUGUUUACUUAAGACAAAAGAUAAGUACUUUACAACGGGUCUAGAUACCCAGAAUAGGCUCGCAGGCCUCAGUCCACAUUUCUGUCCCGACCACUGUCUUCCGACGCCCGAGCUAGUCUCAGGAGGGAGUACCUCCGACUCAAACAACCUUGCGAACCUUUCCCCAGGGACCUCUGCUUCGUCGAUCAAGACAUGGAGCCUCUCCUCGUUCUCGGCGUCAGUCUUGGAAAUGUCGGUGACAAAGCCAUGGGAUACCACCUCCAUGUCGUAGGAGAAGCCCGAGCAGACGACCGCCAUCGCUCGCUUCACCCCGGUAUGAAGGGCAUCCCGCACUCGAUCCCUCAGCAUGGCACCCAAGUAGCACAGCUGGUCGACCAGCGCAUCGCCUCGAGCCACCUCCCUCAUCUCAUCCACAGGCUCAAGCUCCCAGGAGGCUGAAAGGUCGCUUAUCGCAGUCCUUAGUGACCAUUCAAAGCAACCUCCCCCUCGAGCUGAGCCCUGGCAGAACGGGCGUCGGCCUGGGCAGCCAGGAGAUCAUCCUUAAGCCCAACAAAGACCGACAUAGGAAUGUUAGAUAGCACAAAAGGUAUACAUCACAAAAGAAACACGAAAGUGUAAGGAAGCUUACCGUGAAUCCUCUCUUUGAGAGCCAUGUUUUCACCAACCAAAUUGGUGUUGGCCCUCUCGAUCUCUUUGUAAGAGCGAGCCAGGUCAAUGUUGGCAGCCCGUAAGUCCUCGAUCAUCUUAGCCACUUGUAAGACAGCUCCUUCCUUCUCCAGCAGCGUUCUCUUCAGACGAUCAACGUCAUCAGAGAGGCCACGAGAACGAACUCGUUCCGGCUCGAGGUCCUCACGGGCCUUCUUCCCCGCCUCCUCUACGGUGCUCUGAGCGAUCUCGCUCUUCUCGCACUCUUCCUUUACCUCUCGUUAGGCCUCCCGGGCAGAGGCAAGGUCCGAUUUAACAAGGCUCUUCUCCUUGUCGAGCUCGGUGGCCGCGUCCUUGUAAAAUGCGGCCUCUUCUCGGGCCUUGGAAGCUAUCUCCUCAGCCGACGUGGUCGGCUCCCUCAGCUGCGUGGCCUCUUCUAUCGCCUUCUCCGAGGCCUCCCGAGCCUUGGCCAGGGCGGCCUCCCUCUCCUUAUUCUCCUCCGCAGCCGCCAUGAGAUCCUUAUACGCCUGGAGAAGCUUUUCCUACGACUCGAGGAGUUGGUCCUUGAGGAGAGGGAGCUGCUCCCAACCGCCUCUCGUCGCAUGGAUAAAACCCGACUUCAGGCAGGAGGUCUCUUUCAGAUCCUGUGAACCGGUAACUGAACGAUAAGAAUACAAGACUAGAUACCUAAAUAACCAAGAACCAAAGAUACUUACGAAGAAAGCUCGGCCGAGCCCAUUGUUGACAAUAUCCGACAUGAGGCCCAUGACGUGCUUCAUCCAAAGCCGGAGCUCCUCGAGAUGCUCCCACUUUUCGGCCUCCUUCUGGUCAUCCAUCAUGAUGUUGGGCUUCUCUGGGUCGGUGGAGGCUCAAAGACGAAUCCGACCGGGGCCCCAGUUCUUCAUCUCCUCCUCUGUAUGUGCCUUAAGGCCUCGAAUAAGCUCUUGAACGGUCUCGAGCGAACCUCCGUGGCGCAGGAAUAUGUCGAUGAGGGAAGGGAACCGCCCGUCGUCGUCCACCGACCCCCAGGUCCCGGUCUCAUUGGCGUCGCCACCGCCAAAAGUGCUGGCAUCGUCCCCCUCCUCGGCGCUGAGAUCCUCCCACGGCCGCCGAUCUCGAAGGAACCCCGGGGCGAUCCCAUCGAUACCGUAGAGGGAGCCCAUGAUUUCAGAUUGGGGGUCCGCCGGCGUGCGCAUAGCACACGCGAUUGCCACGACGCCGUUCUUCCGCCCUGGUUCGGUCGGAAUAGAGGCUGGGCCCCCUAGACGGAGCCACGCAGGGGUCGGCGGACCAUAGACCGGCAGCCCCUCCUCUCUGGUCUCGGGCCCUUGCAGCGACGGUGAUACUGGCUGGCGCGGGCUUCGUGGUGGCUGUUCAAGCAGCUCUUCCAGCUGCUGACUCCACUGCUGCUGCUGCCGCUGAAGCUCUAGCAGCACUUGCUGUCGGCAUUGCUCCAACUGCUCCUCGAGCUGCUCUUCCUGUUGCCGCCACUGCUCUUUUUCUUCUUCUUCUCCCCCUCCGUUACGCUCUUCUUCUUCCUUCUUCCUCCUCUCUUCGAUGGAGUGAAGCCCGAUGGGCCAAGGCGUCCGUUUCGCGACACGAGAGGCCUCGACCUCUUCAUCCGUGGGGCGGGCAACCUUCGAGAGCAGAUCGCCACCGGACCCGUCGCUGAUGGUGAUGGGGUCCCCCCUCGCCCCCAGACUAGGGAGGCUCGGGGGCUCCCUCCUACCCUUGGAGACGAGGCGUCUCGACCCAUCUUGGUGAUGGCGGGGCAGUGUUAGAAACGUCGCCCCCUCCGACGGACGAGGCCAGGUUCUUUCGACAUCUGUUGAUGGUCGAGUAUCAGAGGAACCUGUGUGCGCCCAAAGACGAUACGUCAGACGCAAAGAAGUUCGAUGCAAGAAUGGCCCAAGCUUCUGGAGACUGCCCCCACUUUUAGCUUCUUGGCCAUCGAGGGUUGGGCUUGUUCUAGCGGCCGUUUCAAACUAAGAAAAUGGGGAUCAACGUAAGAAAAGCCAAAAGACAUCAGAAAACAAUAAUCGCGACGUAAAAAUCUUACCCCACGGGAAGAACGACCCGCCUGCCAGCCCCUCGACCAACUGGCCUCGAGCCACCCUGCGUCGAGACCUUGGGCUUCUCUUAGGCAGGCGCGGGCCUCGGCUUGACAUCUCCCGUCUGGCGAGCGCCGGGCCUAGAGCUGCCACGACCCCUUUCCUUUUGACUUGAGUCCGCCACGGCGGCACGCCCAUGGGUCAGUGGCCCCGUCGCCAUAGUCUUGACCCGGUGGCCCACUCCAGACGUGGGAAGAGGUUGCGGCUGAGAAGCGGCCGGCCCCUGCAUGGGCACAGGAGGGGUGUCGACACGGGAACGGCGUGGAGAUGAUUCCCUCUGCUGACCGUCGCGGGGACCGCCCGACAUCCUCUUAGGGGCCCCCAUCCGCGGGACGUCGACAUCGGCUUAAGGCGGGCCCUCGAGGAUUUUGUCAAGACAAGCCGCCAUCCCCUUGUAGUCGUCGCUGUUGUCGCCGCCCUCGUUGUCGUCAUCCUCGUCAGGAGAGUCCUCCUCGGACUCCCCCUCUGCCUCGAUUUCGCGCGACGUUUCUCGAGCGCUUGUCGCUCGAGAUUCUUUUUCUUCUCAUUUUUCUUUUCUAAGUCCUUUGUGGACUUUUGUUUCUCCGCGGAUUCGCGUCGCCUGUCACGAUCAACGUCGUCCUCCUUUACCGGAGGCCUCGAGGACCGAGCGUCGAUCGGGCCCUGUGUGAGCAGGAGUAAGUCCCAGGGAAAGUCAGAAAGAUCAAAAAUUGAGUAACGUCAAGGGGAAGGGCUUACCAGGUCGAUCCACCCCUCGUCAGGUUUCAUGGGGAAGCCAUUGACGUGCUCAGGCUGAAAAUCGCCUGCAACGGCCGCCCUAACUCUGGCGGCGACCUCGUCGUCCGCGUGCGCCUCGUUGGACAUUCGGCAAGCCUCGAGGUUGCGAGACGAGACGUCGGGACCCAUCUCAUCCAUCCUCAGCGGUCGAGACAUCAACGGGAGUACCCGUCGAUGGUGGACAACCGAAAGGACAAACACGGUGGUCAGACCUUCCUCACGAAGCUUCUUCAGGGCAUCGAGGAUGGGGCGAAGCCACGACUGGAGGGUCUUGACGACGCCGUAGUUCCAGUGGUUCGGACGCUCCGAGAUCAAGCGCCCGGUGUAAUUGGGGAAGAGGUCGUGGUCGUUUCGCAGAUAGAACCAUUGGGAGUCCCAUUGGGCAUGGUUCGACGUCAGCCCCACCGGAAUGUACUCUCGAGGCUCCUCCGCCUUGCCAGUCUUCUGCACCAAGUUGAGGCAGCCGGCCCACACCGGUUUCCUCACCCCUGUAGCCCCACCAGGGGCAUGGAAGAGCUCGCCCCCGGUACAGAUGAAACCACAGGUCCCAGUGCGGCAUCAUCCCCAGAUAGCCUUCACACACCGCAACGAAAAUCGCCGCGACUGUGAUAGCGUUCGGCGAGAAGUGCUGGAGCUCCACACCAUAAUGGUGGCAGAGCGCCCGCAUGAAGCGUCUUGGAGGAGAACCGAGGCCGUGGCGAUGGAACUUGGCGAAGGAGACCACGUACCCCUUGGGCGGUCUCGGCUCCCGGUGGUCCGCCGCCGGCGCGAUCCACUCCGACCGCGACGAGGAAACGUGGGGGCGGAGGAGUCCCUCCUUCUCGAGCUCCAGCAGCCGGCGCUCCAUCAUCGACGACGGGCGCCAGUCAUCAGCAGCAACGAGCCUCACCGGCAUCUUGGGGGAUGAAGGAAGGCGGGUCCACUGCUAUGUGCUCAUGGGUGCGCGCGCGCGCGUGAAGAUGGCAAGGGGAGCAAGGGCAAGAACGAUGGCGGAAGGCGGAAGGAGUAAUGGCUGAGAGACCCCAUGAUAUUUAUAGAUGUCCAACCUCCAACGGGCAGAUCCGGCGAAUAUGGUAACCUCCCUAGUAAAUGCGCCGUCUAACGGUCUUGAUUGCUCUCGCUGAUAGGGCGCUACGAAUUCCGCGACGGCACAGUGCUGCAACGGCUCCCGCCUAAAAAGGCACGCCCAACAGGCAGGAAAGCGAACCGCCACGGCCCUUCCUUCCCCUGUAAGAUAAGGUACGUAUGUGUCGCGAUAGAAAUCUUGAGGGAUCAUAGACGAACCUCGUCGUCCUCGAGUACCAGAGUCAGGGAUGCCCAACGAGAGGUCGAAAAUGAGGCCUACCUCGAAAACUCGUUGGGGAUGUCCAAGGCAAGGGCAAGAGGGUCCAGUGGAAUCCCCACGGAGGGAGGCAUCUAGCCGCUGGACUCUAUCGAACGAGACCAGUAACCCCGACCGCAUUGACCCCGCUUUAUGAGAAUGCCUCCGGGCUGCAGCUGACCCCCUCGAACGGGGCACGGGUUCUCACUUGGAUUACCCGAUAGGAGCUCGACCUAGGGUAGGUGACGCUCGCUCCGCCAGGAGUACGUCACAACUCUAAUGCGAAACCAACCGAUUGAGGCUCGAAGCCCCUCUUCCAUGGCGAACGACAUUCGGAGAAAGGGGAGAUCGAGAGCACUUCCAUUAGAAAAAGCAACAUAACCCUUGAAGGAGUCAAAGACUCCUCCAAGGGCUCACGGGCUACCCCCGCGGGGGUCGCUCGCGCGACCCCACAGAAACUCGACCGACGAAAGAGCCUCCACUCUAGCGCAAGCGCUCGAGUAGAGACUCGAGGGCUACUGUCGAGGGUGUCAAUAAGGGGUACCCUAACCAAUGCUCAUAACGAGAGGACCCAUACACAAAUCGAGGCCCCUGACUCGACGCCCGCGCUCGCACACGCGACUACCAAAGCACGAUGCCAACCAUAGCCUCGAACACGGAAAAGGGGUCAUGCAAAUUAAUAGAGGCUCGACAGGACAGCGACCGUCGAAUACAGAAGUGGCUCGUACAAAUCGACACGCCUCGAGCGCAAGGACGCCGUCCGCCGCCUGACGUGGGUCAGGAACCAGGGCAUUUAAUGCACCUACCAUGUUCUCACCUAACCCGACAGUUACAGGAAACGUGAUAGGGAGCGAGCACCCAUCCAAUCCCCCUUUUUCGCAGCCUUAUCGCCUCAGAUGAGCUAGAGUACGGCCAAGCACAGUGAGAGAAUUGUGAUGUCGCAUCACGCCCCCCCUCGAGGCAUCCAAAGUCAGCGCAUCGAUCAGCAAGGCCAUGCGCGGUACUGGAUCCUCGAGCGAAUACGUUCCUUCCUAGAGAAGAGUCGGGCGGUGAAAGACAGCACCUCAACCCUAAACCCUAAACCCGCCUGACUCUUCUCAGGGAAGGUACGCGUUCGUUCGAGGGUCCGGCGCUGCGCUAAACCCUGCUGAUAGGAGCGUUAACUUUGGGCGUCUCGAGAGGGUCGUGACAAGACAUUUCGACCAUCUUGCCAUGACCUGCCAUGCUCUGAUUCAUCCGGUGGACAAGGCUGUAAAAAGGGAGAUGGGAUGUUUGCUUGCUCCCUAUCACGCUUCCCGUGACUGUCGGGUUAGGUGAGAACGCGGCAGGCGUGUUAAAUGCCCUGAUCCCCGUACCUGCAUCAGGCGGCGAACUGCGUCCUUUGCGCUCGAGGCCUAUCGAUUCGUACGAGCCGGUUGCCAUAUUCAAUGGCCGCUGUUCGGUCGAGCCCCAGUCGAUUCGCACGACGCUCUUUCCGUGUUCGAGGCUAUGGUCGUCGUCUUGCCUUGGCGGUCGUACGUGCGAUCAGGGGGCAUCGAGUCGGGGGCCUCGAUUUACGUACGGGUGCUCUCGUUAUGUGUUUCAGUUAGGGUACCCCUUACUGAUACCCUUGAUAGUAGCCCCCGUGUCUCUAUUCGAGCGCUUGCGCUCGAGUAGAGGCUCUGUUUGUUUGUCGAGUUUUUGUGGGGUCGCACGAGCGACCCCCGCGGGGGUAGCCCCCGAGCCCUUGGAGGAGUCUUUGACUCCUUCGAGGGUUAUGUUGCCUUAUCUGACAGAAGCGCUCUUGACUCCUUUGAGGGUUAUGUUGCCUUAUCUAUAGGCUUUGAUCGGUUGGUUUCGCGUCGGGGUUGCGACGUACUCCCGGCGGAGUGAGCGUCAUCUACCCCCAGUUGAGCUCCUAUCAGGUAAUCCAAGUGAGAACCUAUGCCCCGUUCGAGGGUGUUAGCUGUAGCCCAGAGGCGUUCUCCUGAAGCAGGGUCGAUGUGGUCGAGGAUACUGGUCUCAUUCGAUAGAGUCCAGCGGCUCGCUGCCUCCCUAUGCGGGGAUUCCUCUCGACCCUCUCGUCCUCGCCUUGGAUAUCCCCAACGAGUUCUCGGGGCGGGCCUCGUUUUCGAACACUCGAUGGGCAUCCCUGACUCUGGUACUCGAGAUCGACUAUCGAACCCGUUCUGCGGGCCAGUCUACGACCUCUCGAGUUUUUUGUCAUGCCAGGUAUGCACCUUGUCUUACAGAGGAAGGAAGGAUCGCGGCGGUUCGCCUUUUCGCUCGUUGGGCGCGCCUUUUCAGGUGGGAGCCGUUGCGGCACUAUAACGUCAUGGAAUCCGUAGCGCCCUGUCAGUGAGGGAAAUAAAGAUCGUUAGGCCACGCAUUUGCUAGGGAAGUUAUGGCAUCUGCUAGAUCUAUCCGUUGGUGGUUAGCCGCCUAUAAAUAUCCUUGGGUCUCCCUGCCAUCGCUCCUUCCGCCUUCUGCCCUUGUUCUUGCCUCUACCUCCUUGCCAUCUCACGCGCGCGCGCACCGUCGAACAGUAGCAGAGUCGCUCUCCUUCCUCCUCAAGAUGUCAGUGAGACUCAUCGCCGCCGAUGACUGGCGCCCGUCGUCGAUGACGGAGCGCCGGCUGCUAGAGCUCGAGAAGGAAGGGCUUCUGCGCCCUCGCGUUUCCUCGUCGCGGCCAGAGUGGAUCGCGCCGUCUGCGGACCACCGGGAACCGAGGCCGCCCAAGGGGUAUGUCGUCUCCUUCGCCAAGUUUCACCACCACGGCCUGGGUUCCCCUCCGAGCCACUUUGUGCGGGCGCUCUGCCACCACUACGGUGUCGACCUCCAACACUUUUCGCCGAACGCCAUCACCGCCGCGGCGAUCUUUGCUACGGUAUGUGAGGGCUAUCUGAGAAUGAUGCCACACUUGGACCUGUGGCUCCACUUGUACCGGGGCGAGCUCUUCAAUGCCACCCGCGGAACUACGGGGGUGAGGAAGCCUGUUUGGGCCGGCUGCCUCAACCUGGUGUUGAAGACUGGCAAGGCGGAGGAUCCUCGAGAGUACAUCCCGGUGGGGCUGAUGUCGAACCACAUCGGGUGGGACUCCCAGUGGUUCUACUUGAGGAACGACGAUGACCUCUUCCCCGACUACACCAGGCGCUUGAUCUCGGAGCGUCCGGACAACUAGAACUAUGGUGCCGUCAAGACCCUCCAGGCGCGGCUCCGUCCCAUCCUCGACGCCUUGGAGAAACUUUGUGUGGAUGGUUUGACCGCUGCGCUCGUCCUUUCGACCGUCCAUCAUCGACGGGUACUCCCUUUGAUGUCUCGGCCACUGAGGAUGGACGAAAUGGGUCCUGGGAUUUCAUCUCGUGACCUCGAGGCGUGCCGGAUGUCCAACGUGGCGCCCGCGAACGACGAGGUCGCUGCGAGAGUCAGGGCGGCCGUCGCAGGCGACUUUCAGCCUGAGCGCGUCAACGGCUUCCCUAUGAGGCCCGAUGUGGGUUCAGUUGACCUGGUAAGCGUUUCUCCGUCGUUGCCCAAUUUUUGAUCUUUCCGUCUUUUUUCGGGACUUGCGUUUUCCCAGGGCUCGAUUGAUGCUAGGUCCUCGAGGCCUCCGGUGAAGGAGGACAAUGUCGAUCGUGACAGGAGGCGCGAGUCCAUGGAGAAACAAAAGUCCGCAAAGGACUUAGAAAAGAAGAAGGAAAAGAAGAGGAAUCUCGAUCAUCAAGCACUGGAGACGCGUCGGGCGAAGUCCAGGCAAAGGGGGGAGCCUGAGAAGGACUCUCCCGAUGAGGACGAUGGCAACGAAGGCGAUGAUGGUAGCAAUGAUUCUGAGCGGAUGGCGGCUUGCCUUGACAAAAUCCUCGAGGGUCCCCCGCAGGCUGACGUCGACGUUCCACAGACCGGAGCUCCUAAGAUGGCGUCGGGCGGAUCCUGUGAGGGUCAACGGAGGGGGUCUUCACCGAGCCGCUCUCGCGCCGACACCCCUCCUGUGACCGUGUCGGGUCGGGCCGUUUCUAGGCCUCAACCUCUCCCCGCAUCUAGGGUGGGCCACCAGGUUAAGUCCAUGGCGACGGGGCUACUGACCCGUGGCCGCGCCGCGGCCUCAAGUCAAGGGGAAAUAGGUCGUGGGAGCCCUACACCAAGCGCUCGCCAGUCGGGGGACGUCGAGCCACGGCCCGCGCCUGCCCUCGAGAAGCCUGGGGUCUCGACGCGGGGCUGUUCGAGACAAGCCGGUCGAGGUGCUGGCAGGCAGGCUGUUCUUCCUGUGGGGUAAGAUUUAAACGUUGCGGUUCUCGUUUUCCGAUGUCUCGCGUGUUGUCAGGCUACGGCUUUCCUUAUGUUAUUCCUGUUUCUCUAGGUUGAAGCGGCCGCUGGAACAAGCCCAACCCUCGAUGGCCAAGAAGCUCAAGGUGGGUGCAGCUCCCAAAGACUCGGGUGAGCGGUUCACUCUUCUUUCAAUAGUGUUGCAGUUGUGUGAUCCUUAUGUCGAUCUUCAUAGCGACUGACAUUUCAUUUUCGAGCGCUCACAGGCUCCUCCGAUCCUCGGCCGUCGACGGGUGUCGAGAAUACCCCGCUUUGUCCAUUGGUGGGAGAGACCGCCCCGUCGUCACCGAGGCGGGUCGAGGCGCCUCACCCUCAAGAGUAGGAGGGAGCCCCCGAGCCUCCCCAGUCUGGGGGCAUGGGGGAUCCUAUCACUAUUAGUGAUGGGUCCGGUGGCGAUCGACUCUCGAAGGACGCCCGCUCCAUGGAUGAGGAGGUCGAGGCUUCCCCUGUCGCGAAGCGGACACCUUGGCCAAUCGGGCUCCACUUCGUCGAGGAGAGGAGGAAGAAGGAAGAGGAAGAGCGCGAGCGGGAGCCACAGCAACAGCUGUAGGAAGAGCAGCAUCAGCUGCGGCGGGAAGAAGAAGGAGAAGAGGGGCGGCGGCAAUAGGGAGAACAUCUCGAGGAGCUGCUAGAACAACACAGGCAGCAAGAGCUGCUGGAACUCUAAAGGCAGCAACAGCAGGAGAGUCGGCAGCUAGAAGAGCUGCUCGAACCGCCACCACGAAGCCCGCCCCAGCCGGUGCCGCCGUCGCCGCAGAGGCCUGAGAUCGAAGAGGAGGGUCUACUGGUCUAUGGUCCACCGACCCCUGCGUGGCUCCGUCCGGGGGGGCCAGCCUCCAUCCCGGCCGAGCCUGGGCGGGAGGACGGCGUCGUGGCUAUCACGUGCGCAAUGCGCACGCCUGCGGAACCUCAAUCAGAGAUCAAGGGCUCUCUCUACGGCACGGACGGGCUCGCCCUGGGGUUCCUCCAAGACCGGCGGCUGUGGGAGGAACCCAUCGCCGAGGAAGGGGAUGAGGCCGGCACUUCCGGUGGUGGUGAUGCCAAUGAGACCGGGACAUGGGGUUCGGUUGAUGAUGACGGGCGGUUCCCUUCUCUCGUCGACCUAUUCUUGCGCCACGGAGGUUCGCUCAAGACUAUUCAAGAGCUAAUCCGAGGCGUCAAGGCGCGUACAGAGGAGGAUAUGGAGAAUUGGGGCCCCGGUCGGAUUCGUCUUCGGGCCUCUACCGAUCCAUCGGAGCCCAACAUUUUUAUGGACGAUCGGAAAGAAGCUGAGAAGUGGGAACAUCUCGAGGAGCUCCGGCUUUGGAUGAAGCAUAUGGUGGGCCUGAUGUCGGACAUUGUCAACAACGGGCUUGGUCAAGCUUUCUUCGUAAGUAUUUUUGGUCCUUAGCUAUUUGGGAGUUUGGUCUUGCGUUCUCAUCGAUCGACUACUUGUCACAGGACCUAAAGGAGAACUUCUGCCUAAAGUCGGGCUUUAUUCAUGCGACGAGAGGCGGCUGGGAGCAACUCCCUCUUCUUAAGGACAAACUCCUGGAGUCGUAGGAGAAGCUUCUCAAGGCCUACAAAGAGCUCGUGGCGCUUGAGGAGGAGAAGAAGAAGAGGGAGGCCGCCAUUGCCGAAGUUCGGGAGGCCUCGAGGAAGGCGAUAGAAGAGGCCAUGCGGCUGAGGGAGCAGGCUAUGAUGGUUGAGGAGGCAGCCUCCAAGGCUCGGGAAGAGGCCACAUUUUACAAGGACGCGGCCGCCGAUCUCGGCAAGGAGAAGAGCCUCGUCACGGCUGACCUUGCCUCUGCCCGAGAGGCCUAUCGAGCGGUGAAGGAAGAGUGCGUGAAGAGUGAAAUCGCUCGGAGCACCGCAGAAGAGGCUGGGAAGAAGGCCCAAGAGGAUCUCAAAGCUGAGCGAACUCGCUGUCACGGGCUCUCUAACGAGGUGGAUCGUCUGAAGAGAGCGUUGAUGGAGAAAGAGGGAGCUAUCGCGCAGGCGGGCAAGGCGAUCGAGGACUUGCGGGUCGCCAACACUGACCUGGCUCGCUCUUAUAAGGAGGUUGAGAGGGCCAACAUCGAUUUGGUGGGCCAAAAUACUGCUCUGGAGGAGAGGAUUUGCGGUAAGUUUCCUCGCAUUUUCACACUUCCUUUUGCAAAGUGUUUUUGGUGUUGUCUAAUUUCUCCGUGUUGGUCUUUGCAGGGCUUAAAGACGUGCUUCUGGCGACCCAGGUCGAGGCCCGCUCCGCCAAGGCUCAGCUCGAGGGGGAGAUUGCUUUAAACGGUCGACUAAGGACCACGAAAUGACCUCUCGGCCUCCUGGGAGCUUGAGCCUGCGGACGAGUCAAGGGAGGAGGCUCGAGGCGACGCGCUGGUAGAUCAGCUGUGCUACCUAGGCGCCACGCUGAGGGACCGAGUGCGGGACGCCCUUCAUACUGGGUUGAAGAGAGCGAUGGCGGUCGUCUGCUCGGGCUUUUCCUAUGAUAUGGAGGUGGUGUCCCACGGCUUCAUCACCGACAUUUCUAAGACCGAUGCCGAGAACGAGGAGAGGCUCCACGCCUUGAUCGACGAUGCAGAGGUCCCUGGAGAAAGGCUGGCGAAGCUGUUCGAUCCAGAAGUGCUUCCUCCCAAGACUAGCCCGGGCGCGGACGAUGGUGGUGAGGGCGGGGAUGCGCACUAAGGCCUGCGAGCCUAUGCUGGGUGUCAAUACCCAUUGUAAAGUACUUGUCUUAAGUAAACAUUGUGUCUUUAAGUGGUUUAUGAACAUUUGCUUAUCUUUAUGCUCGAGAUUCCUUUAUUUCCUUUUCUACCUAUGUCUGUAUUUCUCGUAUGGUCUUUUGUUAAGGCGACCUUGAUUGCCUCGAGGGUUAGGGAGCGAGUAGAGUUACCAUAGCCCGGGGGCGUAGGGGUUCUCAGGGUCAUCGUCCCUCGGCCCUUAAGGGGCUCGAGGUGCCUCUACUAAUCGACCGUGCGAGGUUUACUUAUAGGAAAGAAAAAGAAAUUGUUUAGUUUUUAGGAACUUGGGGGGUCCCCUCUGCUAGCCCCCGAGGGAGCAUCGACUAUGAUGGGUCAUAGUUGGUACUCCCUUCUAACGUGGAGACCUUGACCGGCGAAAAAGUAAAUUGCUCGAGGAAAAGAUCUCGUUUAUUCAUGCAUUCAUUCAUUGGAUCUUGGUACAGAAUGUACACGAAACAUAACACUUCGAAACUCUAGGGGUAGAAUCGACGUAGCUGUUCGAUGUUCCAUGCGUUGGUGAAGACCGCCCCUUCUUCGUCCGCGAGUUUGUACGUCCCUGGCUUCAGGACCUCGGCCACCACGUACGGGCCUUCCCAGGGUGGGGUCAGCUUGUGGCGUCCUUGGUUGCUUUGCCGUCGCCGUAGGACGAGAUCGCCCACGUUCAGAUCCCUUUUGCGCACGUGCUUGUCGUGAUAGCGUCGAAGCUUCUGCUGGUAUCUUGUGAAGUUGAGGAGGGCCAUGUCUCGAGCUUCCUCGAGCUGGUCGACCGCGUUCUCUCGAGUUUCCCUGUUCGUCUGCUCGUUGUAGGCCUUGAGUCGAGGUCACCCAUACUCUAGGUCUAUUGGAACAACAGCCUUAGAGCCAUAGACCAUGAAGAAUGGGGUAUAUUUUGUGGCCCUGCUAGGAGUCGUCCUUAAGCUCCACAGGACCGAAGAGAGCUCUUCGACCCAUUUCUUGCCAAAUUUCUUCAACCGGUUGUAGAUUCUCGGUUUGAGCCCCUGCAAAAUCAUGCCGUUGGCACGCUCGACCUAGCCGUUAGUUCGAGGGUGUGCUAGUGCAGACCAGUUCACACGGAUGUGGUGCCGGUCACAGAAGUCCAAGAACUUUUUGCCGGUGAACUGGGUGCCGUUGCCGGUAAUGAUGACGUUGGGUAUCCCAAACCGGUGGAUGAUGUCGGUGAAGAAAAGGACGGCUUACUCGGAGCGGAUGUUCGUGAUGGGUCGAGCCUUGAUCCAUUUGGAGAAUUUGUCGACAGCCACCAGGAAAUGGGUGUAUCCUCCUGCUGCUUUAUGUAGAGGUCCUACGAGGUCAAGACCCCACACUGCGAAUGGCCAUGUGAUGGGGAUCAUCUUGAGGGCAUGAGCGGGAAGAUGGGUUUGCUUGGCGUAGAAUUGACACCCAUGGCAUGAGCGUACGAGCUCUAUGGCGUCAGCUACGGCCAUUGGCCAGUAGAAGCCUUGUCGAAAAGCGCUCCCUACGAGGGUCUGUGGAGCAGUGUGGUGGCCGCAAGCCCCUCGAGUGUAGAUCCUCGAGGAGCUUUCGGCCUUCUUCUAUGGUGAUGCAGCGCUGCAAGAUCCCGGUCGGGCUUCGUCGAUAUAGUUCGUUGCUUUCGCCGUAGAUCAUGUAUGAUUUGGCCCGUCGAGCGAUACGGCGAGCCUCGGAUCGAUCUUCCGGUAGCUCACAUCGAAUCAGGCAAUCAAGAAACGGCGUGCGCCAGUCGAAUGGUCGACCGAGACGCUGUUCUACUUCCAUUACUUCUGCUGCCGCUAGCAGGGCUUCGACAGCGUCGGUUGGAUGGGGGGCGGUGGUUUUGACGUCAGCCCCUGAGCUCAAAUUGAUGGAUGGUUCGUGCAGAUCUCUCAAGAAUGCGUCGAGCGGGACCGUGCCUCGGGUCGACGCGAUCUUAGCGAGUUCGUCGGUUGCCUCGUUGUAGCGUCGGGCGAUGUGGACGAUCUCGAGGCCGUGGAAUUUGUCCUCGAGUUGACGUACCUCCUUGCAGUAUGCCUCCAUUUUUGGAUCAUGGCAGCUCGAGGCCUUCAUUACUUGGUCGAUGACAAGCUGAGAGUCACCUCGAACGUCGAGGCGCCGAACUCCUAGCUCGAUGGCGAUCUUCAGCCCGUUGACAAGGGCCUCGUACUCCGCGACGUUGUUAGAUGCGGUGAAAUGUAUUCUAAUGACAUACCUCAUAUGGACGCCGAGGGGGGAGAUGAACAGCAGACCUGCCCCAGCUCCCGUCUUCAUGAGAGAUCUAUCGAAGUACAUCGUCCACAGCUUCGCUUGAACUUGAGCCGGGGGGAGCUAGGAAUCCGUCCACUCUACGACAAAGUCCACCAGAGCUUGAGAUUUGAUGGCUUUGCGAGGCGCAUAAGUGAGGGUCUCACUCAUGAGCUUGACCGACCAUUUGGCGAUUCUUCCUGUGGCCUCCCGACUUUGGAUGAUCUCUCCCAAGGGGAAGGACAAGACCAUCGUGAUAGGGUGACCAAGGAAGUAGUGUUGCAACUUGCGUCGGGCGAGGAUCACUGCGUAGAUUAGUUUCUGGAUCUGUGGGUACCGUACCUUGGUUUCUGAUAGUACCUCGCUGAUGAAGUAGACCGCCCUCUAGACCAGCAGCGCAUGUCCUUCCUCCUGUCUUUCGACCACCACUGCUUCAGUGACCACCUGGGUCAUUGCAGCAACGUACAGAAGCAGAGGCUCUGCGGGCUGAGGUGGAACGAGGACCGGGGCGGAGGUCAUUGUUUUCUUCAGGCUAUCGAGGGCCUCCUCGGCUUCAGGGGUCCACGAGAAACGUUCAGCUUUUUUCAAGACCCGAUAUAGCGGCAAUGCCUUUUCUCCUAACCUCGAGAUAAAACGGCUUAGCGCCGCCAAACACCCCGUGACCUUUUGUACCCCCUUGACGUCUCGAAUCGGCCCCAUUCUCGCAACGGCCGAGACCUUCUCGGGAUUGGCCUCGAUGCCGCAUUGUGAGACUAUGUACCCCAAGAGCAUGCCUCGAGGUAUGCCAAAGACGCACUUCUCGGGGUUGAACUUGAUUUUGUUGGCACGUAGACAAUUGAAAGCGAUCUUGAGGUCCUGAAUCAGGUCGCCUCGUUUCUUCGAUUUGAUGACGAUGUCAUCGACGUAUGCCUCGACCGUCGACCCUAUAUGCUCGCCAAACACGUGGAGCAUGCAUCGCUGGUAUGUUGCCCCAACGUUUUGGAGCCCGAACGGCAUGGUCACAUAACAGUACAUCCCAAAAGGCGUAAUGAAAGACGUCGUGAGCUGGUCGGAUUCUUUCAUUUUUAUUUGAUGGUAACCAGAAUAUGCAUCAAGGAAAGAAAGGGUUUUCACAUCCCGCGGUAGAGUCAACAAUUUGAUCGAUGCGUGGUAAAGGGAAAGGAACUUUUGGACAUGCUUUAUUUAAACUUGUUUAAUAGACACACAUUCUCAUCUUCCCAUUCUUUUUCUUAACUAGUACAGGGUUUGCUAACUAGUCGGGAUGGUGAACCUCCUUGAUAAAUCCGGCCGCCAAAAGCUUGUGGAUCUCCUCGCCAAUGAUCUUGCGUUUCUCCUCGUCGAAGCGACGCAGCCGCUGUUUCACUGGCUUGGAACCGGCUCGAAUUUCCAAGGAGUUCUCGGCGACUUCCCUCGGUAUGCCCGGCAUGUCCGAGGGACUCCAUGCAAACAUGUCGGUGUUUGCACGGAGAAAGUCGACGAGCACGGCUUCCUAUUUGGGGUUGAGGUCGGUGCUGAUCGUCAGCACCUUGCCGUCGGAGCCGUUGGGGUCGAGGGAGAUCUUCUUCGUGCCUUCCGCCGGCUCGAAGCUGCCCGCGUGACGCUUGGGUUCCAGAGCUUCUGUAGCAAGGGCUUCGAGCUUUGAGGCAAGCCCUGUGGAGUUCUCGAUAGCUUCUCCAUACUCGACGCACUCGACGUCGCACUCAUACGCAUGCUCGUAGGAGGAGCUAACGGUGAUGACCCCCUUGGGCCCAGGCAUCUUCAGCUUCAGGUAGGUGUAGUUGGGGAUAGCCAUGAACUUGGCGUAGCCCGGGCGCCCGAUGAUGGCGUGGUACGUGCCUCGAAAUCCCACCACCUCAAAGGUGAGAACCUCCUUUCUGAAGUUGGCCACCAUGCCAAAACAGACCGGCAGGUCGAUUCGACCCACUGGCAACGCCUUCUUUCUAGGUACGACACCAUGGAAGCCGCCCGCGCUUGGUUGGAGCUGUGUCCUUUCGAUGCCGAGGAGGUCAAGGGUCUCGAGGUAGAUGAUGUUCAGGCUGCUGCCGCCAUCCAUCAGUACUUUCAAGAGUCUGGUGUUGACGAUGAUGGGGUCGACGACGAGCGGGUAGACGCCAGGGGCGACCACUUUGUCGGGAUGGUCGUCGCGAUUGAAGGUGAUGGGGGUGUUCGACCAGUUGAGGUAUUGGGGCACCGCCAUUCUUGUCGCAAAGCCUCGCGGUGUUCCCUCUUGCGCUGCCUUGUCGUUAGCUGCGUCGAGGGUCCGCCGUAGAUCAUGUAGCAGUCGUCGACGGCUGGGAAGCCCUCGUCUUCUUUGUCGUCCCCCUUGUCGCCGUUCUUUUCUUUCUUCUGGUCGUCCUUCUUAAGCCCCAGGCCGUCGAAGUGCCCUUUCAGCAUGCGGCAGUCUUCAAGCUUGUGGUUUGCCCCUCCCUUAUGGUAAGGGCAGGGCUCCUUUAGCAUCUUGUCGAAGAUAGCUCCCUCAGGGGGACCUUGAGGUUUUUUACGCUCCAUGGCGGCGACGAGAUCGUCGUCGAAGGCCUCCCGUUUGAACGGCUGUGCUUUCUUCUUCUUCUUGUUUUUCUUGGGCCCUCGACUGGGACCCUCAUCAUCGUCGGUUGGUGCCUUGCCUUUACCUCCUUUGUAGCUGAAGAAAGCACCGACCGCUUCCUCCCCCGCAGCAUAGUUUGCCACCACGUCCAUCAGCUCGUCGAUGGUUUGUGGGCGGUUCCGACCUAACUCCCGUACCAAAUCUCGGCAGGUGGUGCCUGAGACAAAGGCCAAGAUAACGUCGUGGUCGGGGAUGUGCGGCAGCUCAGUGCGCGGCUUCGAGAAGCGUCGAGCGUACUCUCGGAGAGUUUCUCUCGAUUUUUGCUUGCAUUUGCUGAGGUCCCACGAAUUGCCAGGUCGUAUGUAGGUCCCUUUGAAGUUGCACUCAAACACCCUGACUAAAUCAAUCCAAUCGUGGAUCUGGUUGGCAGGGAUUUCCUCGAGCCAUCUGCGGGCGGUGUCGGAGAGGAAGAGUGGUAAUUGUCGGAUAAUAGCUCGAUCAUCCCCUCGAGCGCCUCCCAGCUGACAGGCUAGCCGAAAGUCUGCUAGCCAUAGCUCUGGUUUGGUUUUGCCGUUGUAUUUAGCAAUGCUGGUCGGGGGUCAGAACGGGCUGGGCAGCAGCGUGCUGUGGAUUGUUCUGCUAAACACGCGAGGGCCCGACGGUUCUGGGGCCAUCCGGUCCUCGUCGCUGUCGUAUCGCCCGCCGCGGUGGGCGCUGUAACCGCGCUCCUCUACAUCCCCAUGUCGACGGCGACGAUAUUCGUUGAUGUCGUGUCGUGCGUCGUGUCACCGUUGAUUAUCGACGGGGUGGUUUUGGACAGGCGUUGUCCUCUUUCCUCGAGGGGGUGGUUGCUGAUGGACCGACACCUCCUUUUCGUUUCGGACCGGCUUGUUAAGCCUCUCCGUGGCUGCUCCUCGACGUCAAGAGGAUGAGCUCUCGGCCUACUGAACUGCCACCACUUGAAGCAGAGUCUGCACCUCGUCUUGAAUUCGCCGCGCUUGGGAGUUUGAGGGUUCAGGCAUGUUACGUAGCAGCAUCGUCGCCGCCACGACGUUCUGGCCCGCUCGAGGGAAGUGGCUGACGGGUUGUUCUGGUUCCCCGUCCCCGACAAUCUGUCGAUGUACUUCUCGAGCCCGUCUGCGGGCACCUCCGCCAUGCGGGUAUGGUUGGUCCUGCUCGAGGGCGUGCUCGAGCUGGACAAGGUGCUCGCGAUCUUCAUCGAGCUUCGCUCUGAGCUCUCAUAACUGCGCAAAUUGCGCGGCUUUGUCUUCCUACGGCGUGGGGUCGACCUGACCGUCGUUCCUAGGCGUCCUGGGGUCCUCCCUUGCUACAGGGGCUCGACCGCCAGCGAUGGCGUCUUGUGUUUCGUCGGUGGUUUCUACCUCCCCGUCGAUGUUGAAGCAUUCCCUUGUAGGGUCGUAGCUGUCGGACAUAGAGUCGGGAUCCGGCUCUACGGUGUAGAAACAUCCGCGUCGUUCUUUCGCCAGCCGUUGUCUGAGUGAAGUGAUCGUGUAUCGCCCAGGUCCUAGGCUGCGGAGGCCUCGUACCUGGGAGAAAUCCAGUAGCUCGAACGCUUGCUGCUGUGUUCUGGCGUCGCGUGGGAGGACCAUUGGUCGCUCCACGUACGUCUGGGCGUUUGGACAUAUCGCCCUGGCAAGCGACGCCGCAGCGUUAUCUAGGCCGAACGGGAGUGUUCUUCUUGGGGCAAACAGUUCGUGCGGUAGCAGCGUCGUGGGGGACGGGAGCACAGGAGGCGCGUUGUCACCCAACGUCGCCGCAUGGUCCUCGUGACGUUGGGCUGUCGUACCCACGGCUCCGCCGCGCGGGUUGUCGAUUCCUGCGUCACCGCCUGCCUGGCACGAGCCGGCGAACGUGAGGAGGCAGAAGAGUGGUGGCGGCACUGUCCAUGCCUCUUCUUGGGUGGGGAGGCAUGGUGGCGAGGCCGUCUCGGAGCCCUCAAUUGUGCUGGCGCAAUACGAGCUCCUUCUGGUCCUUUGACCGAGAGCAGGAUCAUGUCGUAGCCGAAACCGGUAGACAUGAACUCGAGGCUCCCGAACCAAAUCACCAUGGAGCGUGGAAUCGGUGAAACGAGAGUGGCCAUCUGGAAAGAGAUGGGAAAUUGGUGAAAAAACAUGCAGGACCCCUACCUGGCGCGCCAACUGUCAGUGUUUUCCCCCCGGGGGGUCACACCAACGAGUAAAACUUGUGUGCAUGUUUCCUUUCCUAGAUGGUGAUGCAAGAAAGACACAAAGAUUUAUCCUGGUUCGGGCAAGAGAAGGCCCUACGUCCAGCGGGGUGGGAGAUGUUUCUAUUAUCUUCCACUUAAGUGCUUGUACAGGGGCGAAUACAAGUUGGAACCGUGGAUGGAUGGAGAUGAAGUAUGGUUGAUCUUCUACGUAUGUCUCGUCUCGUGUCCCCUAUCCUUUCCAGGGCUCCCCCUUUUAUAGUUCCAAGAGGAGACCUAGGUUACAUGCGUAGGUGACAGAGUAGGGGUCGAUAGGGGCGUGGCGCGCUGACUUACUCGAGGCUUCCGUACUGGCGUGGCCUCGAACUGUCUUGUCUCGGUACCUUGAUGAUGAUUACGCAUGCCUCUGAAUCCUGCUCCUAUGCGCCGCCCUAGAUGGGCUUAUCCGUGGGCACGCCUGUACGUCGUGCUGCAGUUGCGUUAGGGUGGUUGAGGUGCUGUCUUUCACCGCCUGACUCUUCUCAGGGAAGGAACGCGUUCGCUCGAGGGUCCGGCGCUGCGCUAAACCCUGCUGAUAGGAGCGCUGACUUUGGGCGUCUCGAGGGGGUCAUGACAAGACGUUCCGACCGUCUUGCCGUGACCUGCCAUGCUCUGAUUCAUCCGGUGGACAAGGCUGUAAAAAGGGCGAUGGGAUGGGUGCUUGCUCCCUAUCACGCUUCCCGUGACUGUCGGGUUAGGUGAGAACGCGGCAGGCGCAUUAAAUGCCCUGAUCCCUGUACCCGCGUCAGGCGGCGGACUGCGUCCUUUGCGCUCGAGGCCUAUCGAUUCGUAUGAGCUGGUUCCCGUAUUCGACUGCCGCUGUUCGGUCGAGCCCCAGUCAAUUCGCACGACGCUCUUUCCGUGUUCGGGGCUAUGGUCGUCGUCUUGCCUUGGCGGUCGUACGUGCGAUCAGGAGGCGUCGAGUCGGGGGCCUCGAUUUACGUACGGGUGCUCUCGUUAUGUGUAUCAGUUAGGGUACCCGUUACUGAUACCCUCGACACUAUCCAUGGCGUCUAAGACCUUGUUUAGUUCACCCAAAAAAUAAAAAAAUUAAGGUUUUUCGUCACAUCGAAUCUUACGGCACAUGCGUGAAACAUUAAAUAUAGACAAAAACAAAAACUAAUUGUAUAGUUUACUUGUAAAUCACGAGAUAAAUCUUUUGAGCCUAGUUAAUUGCCACAUUCUUCUCUUCAUUUGCCAUGAGACCAAUAUGAGAAGGGGCAUAGAGAGUUGAGCUUCUUAAUGAGGUGGAUUCAUUAUUUGGCCUCCACCAAUCACAAUAUUUUUCUUCCUUCGAAAUAUUAGUCCAACAAAAACUAGAGGAAGUAGAAGUACCACAUAUAAAUGCAUUGUUCUCACCAACUAUUUCAUUGUCUUCCAUUAAGUCAUAUGUUAGUGAGAAAGUAGAUGUGGCAUGAUCACUUAGACCUUUUGGGAGAAUCACUUGAGGCUAUUCUUUUGUCGGUGAAGUUGAGACUUCCUCAAGUGGUUCCUCCAAUGAGAGCAACUUCUCAACACAUUUGGACUUGUCAUAUCUUUCUAUGAGUGUGGUCCAAAUGAGAUUAGCAUCAUCAAGUGGUUCAUCAUCUCCAAAUAUGAUGGUGUCAAGAACAUCUUCUCUCAAAGCACUAAAUAAAACAUUAGUAGCUUGAGCAUUGUAUUGUAAGCAUUUUACUUCCUCUCUAGAUAGAUAGACCAAAUCAUCACUAGGAGGUGAAAUGCUCAUAUCUACAACCCGCUCGAUAUGAGGACCCAUGUCAUUAAAAACAGCAAGCACACUAGCAGACCAAGAUGUAUAAUUUGAGACAUCUAAAAGUAGAAGUUCUAGAGAUAUCUCCUCACUUAUCAACAUCAUCUCUCAAGGCGGUUAAGCCAAAAUUGAGAGCCUAACUCUGGUACCAAUUGAAAGGACCUUGAUGUCGCCUAGAGGGGGGUGAAUAGGCAUUUAUGAAAAUAUCAACAAUUAAAACUUGUAGCGGACUAGCAGACUGCGGAGCCUCCAUGCUGAAACGUGGAACCUCUGGGACCCCGUCGGAUGCUGAUGUCAACAUCUGACUAGUGCAACACAUGCACAACAAAGGGUAAAGGGUGUGUUGGACACGCAGGAACUAUGGUGUUAGACGCUCUGGUACUCACACUGUAGCAAAGACUGUCUUCUGCAAUGCGUCGGAUGCUGCUAAGGUUCAGCGUCAGACGCUAACCCUAGCACCGGACAUUAUGCACAAAGGUUUGAGAAUGCUCCAAUGGGCGUCAGACGUGUCUGAUGGGUAAGCAUCAGACGCUGGCCGGAGUACGACAUACCCCCAAACUGAAAGGACCUUGAGGUCGCAUAGAGGGGGGGAGAAUAUGCGUUUAUGAAAAAUACCAACAGUUAAAACUUGCAGCGGACUAGCAGACCAUGGAGCCUCCAGACUAAAGUGUGGAACCACCAGGACGCGGAACCUUCGACGAGGUUGUGGAACCUCCGAAAAGCAUAGAGUACUCAGCAGCUGCUACACCUAGAGAUCAAGAACUCAAACCAAACUUGAAGGUGUGUUUGAUGAUGCCCAGUGGCAAGUCCAUGAAGUACUUGCACUCGCAAACACGCACAACUAGAGUGUUAGGUCAUGGUAAUGACAAUCUUGGGCAAUGUGGUUUUCAUACCACCUAUCGAUGGAAAUCGUUUCGGUUUUCAAAGGAUUGACAACAAGGUUAAGGACGGUUAGUUCCGAGCAUCGAAGGUGUUGAGUGACGUUUGGAUUAGUCGUAGGACUUGGUUUUCCUUUGGCCAUACUAUUAUGGGGGGUGCAAAUGGGUAGCUUGACCGAGGUGAGUCUAAUGGUUAGGUGUGGUGCUCACUUGUCAAAAUUAGCACUAGGUAGCUUCAUUUUGUCCCUAAGAUUAGUUGAAGUCAACUCGGUUCACAAAGAAUUUGGAUUGGAAGUGAAACGAGGACUUUUUGCUACGUCGGAUGUUGAAGAAGUGAGCGUCGGAUGCUGAUGUCAACAUCCGACUAGUGCAACACAUGCACAACAAAGAGUAAAGGGUGCGUUGGACAUACAAGAACUGUGGUGUUAGAUGCUCUGGUACUCACAUUGUAGCAAAGACUGUCUUUUGCAAUGCGUUGGAUGCUGCUAAGGUUCAACGUUGGACGCUAGCCCUAGCACCGGACUUUCUGCACAGAGGUUUGAGAAUGCUCCAAUGGGCGUUAGACGUGUCUGAUGGGUAAGCAUCAGACGCUGGCCGAAGUACGACGUACCCCAAAACUAAAAGGGCCUUCAUGUCGCCUAGAGGGGGGUGAAUAGGCGUUUGUGAAAAUAUCAAUAAUUAAAACUUGUAGCGGACUAGCAGACCAUGGAGCCUUCGGGUCUAAAGCAAACAUUUGAGAUCAAGGGAGUGCAAGAGCCUUUUGAGGUGUUUGUGAUUUGAUAAUCCAAGAUUAAGGACCUCAUUAGUUCAUAGGGAGUAGCAAGUGUGCAUCCACCUUCCUCAUUAGGCUUGUUAUGGUCAAGUGAGAGUUUGUGCUUAUUACUCUUGGUGAUCGUUAUCACCUAGAUAGCUUGGUGGUGAUUGGGAGCUUGGUGAUCAUCCGGCGGAGCUUGUGGAUAAGACUCAUCUUGUGGGCAGUUUUGGGCAAUUCACCAUGUCGAAGCGAUGAAGAAUCAGCCCGCAGAGAGCACUUGAUCCUUGUAUGGAUCAAGGGGAGCUACACCCUUGCAUGGGUGCUCCAACAAGGACUAGUGAGGAGUGGUGACUCUCUGAUACCUUGAGAAAACAUCAUGGUGUUCCUUUUCUCUUUAAUUUGAGCAUUUACUUUCAAGCAUUCCAAUUUUUGUCUUUACAUUCCUAAAAUUGCCAUGCUAGUAUAUUAUUGGAACCUAGGGUGCAAAACUUUUAUCGUGGUAGAAUUGCAAGGAAACACACUUUAGGCACCUAAUAGGUUUUAAUUACCGCUUUAAUUUUUAGAAUUAGCCCAAUUCACCCCUUAUUGGGUAUCUUGAUCCUUUCAGUUAAUUCCGUCAAAGUGGUGAUGUAAUAGUUGAUAAAACUAUGUGAUGUAGCCAUUAAAUUGGUAUUCAUGAUGUAUGAAAUGUGGUAGAAGUUGGAUAUUAUCAAUAUGAUGCCCUCAUCUUCCUGGGACUAUCAUAUUAUGUUAUGUGGAUUUUCUUUGAGAAAAUCGAGGUUCCUUUCACGAAUUUGUCUCGAGCAGGUGGAAAAUGACAUUGUUUGCCAAGCGAUCUCAGUUGUAACAUCCCACCUCCACAAGGUCGGGUCUGAUUACAUCUAGUAGCUUUUCUAGGACAUAGUCAUCCCUCACAGACCAACACCAGUGUUUUCGGCACACUUUGUCCUCACUCGUGCGCACCUAUAAAGAACUUCCUGGUCGGUCACCUAUCCCUAAAUUUCUCUAGGCCAAGCAUGCUUAACUUUAGAGUUCUUUGGAGAUGGGAUUACAGAAAAGAAGUUGCAACUUGUUGGUAUGAGUAUUCUAUUAAUCCUAUUAAGCCUUGGGUGGGAUGUUACAUCCUCACCCUCUUAAGAGACUGACGUCCUCAUCAGUCAACCCCAAGCCAGGAACGUACCCUCUUAGCCACGUCUAGGGAUGAAAACGGUACGGAUAUUUUUCGACCGUAUUCGAGACUGAAUUCGUUUAGUGAGGUUCAAAUUUGUCUGUAUCCGAGUCUGAAUAUUCAACAUCCAAUACUGUAUCUAUAUCAGAAUACUUAAAUCGCAUAUUUAUGAUGUCGACAUCUAACCGUAUCUUAUCCGACAUGAUUGACAUUAUCCGCAUUCGAAUCUGAAUACGAUCACAAAUAUGAAAACAAAUAUGAUAUCGAUAAUAUCCGUCCGUAUCUGAUCCGUUUUCAUCCCUAGCCACGUCCAUAUGUCUAGUGCCAGCACAUGUGCCAAGCUGUGUGACCACUCCGGGUCCACACCAGCCAUGCACACUAUGCCUGUGCAACUAUGACACACGCACCCAUGAAACCACUACAGUCGGCUCUGAUACCAUUUUGUAACGUCCCACUUCUAUGAGGCUGGGCCCGCUUCCAUCUGGUAGCUUUUCUAGGACAUAGUCAGCCCUCAUAGACCAACACUAGUCUUUUCUGCACACUUUGUCCUCACUCAUGCGCAUCCGAGAAGAACAUCCCGGUCGGUCACCCAUCCCUAAAUUUCUCCAGAGUAAGCACGCUUAACUUUAGAGUUCUUUGGAGAUGGACUUCCAGAAUAGAAGUUGCAACUUGUUGGUAUGAGUAUCCUAUUAAGCCCUAGGUCGGGAUGUUACAUCAAUAGCUUUGGUGGUGGCAUAGCUCCAUUUCCCCAAAGUAAGCCCAAGAGCCACCAAGCUUGGCUACCUAGAGGAGGCUAACUUGGUGGAGGCCAUGGCAAUGGCAAAAGAGCUUACUUUGGUUGCAAAGGUAACGAUUGUGGUAUUGAACACCGAUAGUCUCCUACACUAGCCUCUACCUAGGGAUGCACACAAGCAUAUCGACAACCACAUGGGACCUCCUUGCUAGGACAAGAAAAUCUAGUAGUAGUAUGUACAUAGGUGCCUCCAACUAGGUUCUUUUUUAUGGAAAGAAUAUGUUGCACGUUCUUCAAUAGUAUCAUCUUUUCGGACCGAACUUUAGAAUGGUCAUACCAAUACAAGAAUACGCUCAUGAGACCUGUUUCCCAUUAGCAAGACUCUAGUCCCGCUGACCUGAUAAGAAGAAAACAAAGAAGCAUCAGCAUACACAUUUAUAUUAGCUGUAGUAUCCAUUCACCACUCAAACGAAUGACAAACUGCAAAAAAAUGGUAAAGAAUUGCCAUAUUCAGAUGUUCCUCCUUUAGGCUCGCUAACAAUCAUACAUGUUUGUAGGUUUCUUUUCUCACUAGUCAUGCACUUGCCCAAUGCUCAUUGCUCCUGCAAACAAAGCAAACACCUUAUUUGUUCUUUUUCUUCUUAUAAAAGUGGUUGUUUUCUUAGCCUUCGAGUUGUUCUCUUGCUUGUUCUUUUUUCUUUUUUUUUAUGAUGAGAUACAUUAGAGUUUUUCUUCUACACCAUAUUGGCACUAGAAGACUCAACUACUUUUCCACAUGUGUCAUUUAGACUCACCCUAUCCUCAACAUCAAGAGACCCAAUAAGCUCAACCAUGCUAAACUCUUCUCUAGUGCUUUAGAGAUAUAGCAAAAUCCCUACAGAAAGGUGAUAACUUAGCGAUAAUACCUCUAACCACAAACUUGUUAGGCAAUAUACAUAGAAACUGCUUGAGUUCCUUAGCUAGUCCUUUUAUUUCAUGAGCCUAUUCCACUAGUGAACAAUUAUCAACCAUUUUGUAGUCAUACAACUAUUUCAUGAUGUACAUCUCACUACCAGCAUAAAAAACACCAAACUAAACAUCAAGUGCAUUGCAUAAUUCUUUGCUUGUCCUGCAUAUUAUGUAAUUGUCCUCAUAUUUGUUAUGAAAAGUACUAAUUAUGGCACCUCAAAAUAGGUUAUGAUAGGCGUGAACUUUUGCUCCUAUUCAAGAGUAAAUUGUUUGGGCUUCUCGGUGCGCCAUGAUAGCAAAGUAGUCAACACCAAGACCAUCUAAGCAUGCAAUCUCUUAUAGUUUAUGCCAUCAAAAUCAUUCGGCUUUAAGGCAAAAGCAAAACCAAUAAGAAAAAAUUGCUUAAUAUUAGGUUUUUGAAUUAUUAGGUAUUUAGGCAUUUUCAUGUUAAGUUGAUUCUAGAAAAAUAGUAAUAAAUUGGUGGAGACAAAUAUAAGCUCGUGGAUAUUACCAGUGUCAACUAUGAUGAACAUACUAAUCAUAACAUAACCAAUAUUGAAUUGACACAUUGAAAGAAAAAAUUGUACCCUGUAGAGGGACCCUUGCUCAAGGCACUGGUGGCUCCAUUCAUAAGAGAUAUUUGUGUUGCUCAAAGUUAUGGACCUCAGUCAGUGUAGGUAGAUGUUCGCAGUGCAGUCCCUCGCACCUCCACCAUAAAAGGUGAAGAAGUAGAUGAUCAUUCACACCACUAGGAAGAAGAUGUUCCGAUGAACAACAUCACCAGAACAAAGAUCAUAUCAGCGAGCAGUCGUAGUGAUGCUCCGAAAACCUGAUCACCCAUGCACCUAAGCAAAAUCUUGAUCAUCCGCAUACCCGAGCAAGUGUCAUAGGUGCAGAUGGCAGUUCCUAAGGUCUUCUCUCCUAACUCUCCAUGCGCACAGAGGAUUGGGAUAUAUGACAAGGAAACUUAGACGACAGUGAGAAGAGGAAAUACACUAAUUGACUACCAUAGGAUUUUCCAAACUACAAACUUCCAAUGGUAGUUCUAUUGUUGCUCUUUUCUAGGAGGAUUGGUCCAUAUAUAUAUAAGGAGGUGAACCCUUGUUGACGGUAGUUAAAGUAUAUAUUAUGGACCAUCAACCUUUCUCACAUAAAUAAUAGAUAUGAAAGAAUAGGAGGUUAUUACUAACAGUUUUCAUGAGUUUUGUUGAAUUCAUAUUUUUUGUAGGGAUUAUUCCAGAUAUACAAAGGAGGAUAAAAAUGUUAAAAAGGACUAAACUUAACUAUGACAAAGAGUACAUUAGAAGACUCUGAAAGACUCUAGAAGAUACCACGUCUAAGCGGGUGUUGAUAUUUGGUAACGCAAUAAGGAAAUGAUCCGCAAGCGCACGAAUAUCGGUGAGCAUUUCACCCGGGAGGUUAUCCAGAGUUAUCGUAUUUAUAUUUUUACCACUGGGAGAAAGAGUGCAUCUGACUAACCAAAUCUAUUGCUACUAUCCCUUUAGGCACAAAGAAUGUCUUUCGAUGUGAGUGAUAAAUAGAGAAGACUGCAACCGUAGUCUCCUUCUAACCUUGGUAAGGAUGAUCUACUGUUCUAAUGGGGAGGCUAACGGAAUCUAGACAACACAAAGGAUGUUCGACCCGCACCUAUAAACCCUAUCCUUCCUGCUAACGAGAUGUGAUCUACAAAGGUAGCUCGGAAUUGUCACGUUCCUCACUACUACCACGGUCCAGCUAGUCAGGGAAUAUCUAUGAGUACCCCAGCCUAAACACCACGUUUACGCCAGCAAUGAUUACUCUAAACUCUACGCGAAGAGAUUAAAGUAAACUCAUAAACCAUAAGAACAAUAAAACAAGAACUUACUAGAAUUUAGAAGUCGAAUUACUGAAGAAUCCUAGGAGCAAGCUUCGGGUUAGGAGAACUUGAUCCCGCAGGUACAAGCUUGGAGUAGACACCAACAAGCCCGGCUUCCUCCAAUCUACACCUCCACUCUAUCUCUCUCAAUCUAGUAGAAACUAGAAGAUCUAUUUCUACCUUACAUUGGUUGCUAAGCCUAAAAAGAAAUAUUAAUUAGAGAAGAGGUUUUCCUUCGAGGGCACCCCUCAAUCUCUAUGAUAAUUUCUUCAUGUCUUCUCCAGGGGCCAAGGGGGUCUCCUUAUAUAGUCCUCCCCUUCUAUGCGUUUUUGGGUCGAUAGGCGAGGUGGUACUAUGUUUUCCUUGAUCCAAUAGGUCGGUGGAACAUCCCGAGCGAAGAGAGUCCUGAUCUGGCUCUAGCAGGGGGCGGGCGCCCAGGUCCUCAGGGCAGGCGCCCUGGGCCUGGCCCCGUUUCGCCUCUGCUUCGGUCUCGUGGCUUCUGGAGUCUUCUAGAUGGUAGAAAAUUGCACAGUGCGUUGAUAUCUCUAUGUAAUCCCGACAUGUGGGCCUUUCUCCCUUAUUUCCUGAUAACCCCCUGCAGAAAUAGACAAACACCAAAACUCGUGAAAUUCUGUCAGAUAAAACCCUAAGUCUAGAUGUUGAUUUUAUUUGGAUCCUUUUCUUUGUUUAUUUGAUAAUUAAAUUUGAUACUUAAGGACCGUCAACAAACUCCCCCAAGCUUACCUCUUGCUCGUCCCUGAGCAAGGAUAGACUUUGCUAUGGAUCAGAAGUUGUUGCAAUAUCUUAAAAAUUUGACGGUACACAUGCUUUUAAAUAAGAUCUCAUCUCUGAGUUAGAGUAAACUGUCAAGAAUUAAAACUUACUUACUUUACCUCUCACCAUGGGACUUGUAACCGUCACUUCUGUCUUGAGUAGUUAAAAGAUAGAACAGUCUAGCCAAGUGCCAUGUCUCUUAUUCUUGAUCAGCUAUAGCUCUGGGGUUUUUGCAGAUUUUCAAAUAAAACUCAGAGAUUCCUUGUAUGACUCUCUCAUAUCUCUCUUUUGUGGUAUUUCUGGAUCCUUACCAAGGCAUUGAUGGUAUAUGCCUUCUCUCAAGAUAUGUGGUAUUUAUGGUAUAAGGCAUAGUGACAUUGCCUUCUCUCUCACCCUACUCUAAUAAGGCUUGAUAUCUGGAGCUCAUAGGUGGGAGACAGUUAAUACAUACUUACAAGACAUUUAUUGCAUAGUCAAGCCAUGGAUCCAGAGAAACAAAUCAAUAAGCCAAAUCAAGAUGUGCAUGUGUGGCGAAUGAAUGGUGUAUGGUGAUGAUGGUAAUAACAAUGGUGAAAGUCUAAUUCUACUUUUGCUCUUUUGAGGGGAUACGUACCUUCCUUGCUUUUUGAAACUUUAUGAGGAGAAUGAGAUGCUCUUCUUUUUCUUUCCUCUCAGGUGGGUAUCUUGUAUCCCUAAUUCUAUUAUCGGACACUUGUCCAUUUUUACCUCUCGUCUCACUUUUUCUUUCUUUCGAGGUUCCGGGCACUUGUCCCUUUUUAUUUCCUCGUUUAUAUAUAUAUAUAUUUUUCUUCUCUUUUCUUUCUCUUUUUUUUUCUUUUCAGAGCACUCAUCUCUUGAGAUAAUAUAGCAAGUGGUAGUAACCAAAAUAUUUGGAGCAUUUAUUUCACAGGGAAUAACAGGGAUAGGAAAAUGUUUUUGACUAUUCUCUCCCGGAUUAGGAGUAGAAUAUUUUUGGGUGAUUCUGGAGAUGGAAAUGGAUGGAUAUAUGUGGAUGGUACUUCUGGAGUAGAAGUAGCAUAUAUGAGUGAACGUGCAAGUGAAUCUUGAUUUAACCACAUGACAAGCUCCUAAGGGUCUACACAGCUUGACCACACUCAAUGCUCAUAAGCAGUAAAUAGUAAAUGUGUGGCUCAAAGUCUAGCAAGCAUGUAUAUAUGGCUGUGGUAGGAAUUUAAACUCUCAUCAUACAGGAACUCAUCAUGCAAUAUUUUAAAGAUUUUUCAAGAUAAAGUUCUCCAGAAUUCUAGCAUCUCUAGGAACAGAUAAACAGCAGCUCAACCUUCCCAUAUCAUAUCCGUUAACAACUUAGAUUUUAGAUCAAGUUUUCGUCCCACAAGUUUAGAUCUAGAGCAAGCUUUAAAUUAUAACAGUUAUGUCUAAACUUGAGAGGGAACUUUAAAAUUGCAAAUUAGGCAGAGCAACUAUUCAUCAUAUCCAUGAUAGAGUUUUAUUAUUAAGAUUCAGAUUAGCAUAGCCACUUUAUUUAUUUAUUAAACAUACUAAGCAAAAGAUAUAUAUAAGCACAAAAUCUUUAUUUGGUUUUUCAUAGUUUAUGUAUUUUAAUAUUCUAACAUAAUAUAAGUAUAAAGAUAGGUAGAAAUACUUAGCGAGAAUAAUGGGGGUGCUCUCCCCAAGCUGAAUUUUGACGUAAUUUCUCUUGAUGUAGCUAGCAGGUGGCAGAGGUGUAUUUGAAAGUCAGUAGCAUUCUGACAGCGAUUAGAAUGUCCUCCGUCUGCUAGUCUUCUUGAUUCUUAAAUUCUAUGGAGCUCAAAUAGACAACAAAGCUUGUGGAACUAAUUAAGUGUUAGCAUAAAUAUCUAGCCUUCAUCAUGUUGAGCUUCCUUAAUAAAUGUUAUUUAUUUAGCAGGAUCAUGCACUUAUUAUUUUUAUAUUUUUAUUGUAAGAUGAAAACAUAUUUAUUUUAUUUUUAUGCCACCACAGUGAAUGUACUUAUGGGUUUUAUGCCAUGAGCAUACUCACAUGGGGCUUACUUUUUUUUAACAUUUUUAUUUUCUUUUCAAGAUAGCAUGAACCUAAGCAAACUAUUGAAUGGAAAAGGAUAACUACCAAGUUUACCUCUUGGCAAGGCGUUCGGUAUUUUUAUGUCCUCCGAACGGGACUCUCUGUUUUCUCAGUCGUCCUGGAAUUCGCUAGGUGGCGUAGUCGGUGAUUCCGGCGGCACCUCUCUUCGUGUAUAACUAUCUUCUCCCUCCACACCUGACUCGGUGCUAUGGUCUCCUCAGGACAGUUCUAUUCAAGUUGUAUGUCUUCAGUCUUUAUCACUUCUCCUUCGUAGUCUACCCAUCCGUUCUUGAUGAUUUGCCUCCUCUUGGUUGCGGUUGCGUCGUCUUCUUGUCCUGACCUGCUUAGAGUCUUCAACUAUAUAGUUAUGGUCAGAAAAAUAGUUGCGUACCUUCUCAGAGGGGAAGUACAUGUGGACUUCUCCGGUUCCAAUGUAGAUGAUUGCUUUGAUAGUGUUGAGGAACGGUCUUCCAAGGAUGGUGGGUGGAUCAUAUUCGUCUUCUCCCAUGUCAAUGACCUGAAAAUCAUCUAGAGCUGAAUAUAUUGGUUGUAGGGGCAUGGUUCCAUACAGGAGCUGAUAAGUGACUGCGGCCAUUAUGUUGUCGUCAGAUCCGGUGUCGUAGAGUGUCUUCUGAAAAGAGUAUCCAUUGAUUGCGCACUUGAUGUUUGGAACACCAGGGUCAUCCUUCUUGAUCAAGAAAGGUGACCUGAGUCGACGAUGUUGACCUCUUCCGACAAGGAUCCAAUGUUUUAAGUCUUCUGGACAAGACUUUCUACCAUCUUCAUCCUUUAGGUGCAUCAUUUAAUUAGGUGUGGACCUUGACGCCUGCACCUCUUGAUACGGUGUUACCCAUGUUCUUCUUUGCCCAGUAGUUCGAAGUAUGGUGUUGGCAAUAUCCUGCUCAGUGUGUUUGUGCUCAU
Molecule: long non-coding RNA, 66843 nt
Filed under: Sorghum bicolor (sorghum)
Lineage: Eukaryota; Viridiplantae; Streptophyta; Magnoliopsida; Poales; Poaceae
Description: long non-coding RNA (SBIC_LNC016496)
Source: RNAcentral